UUGAUAUAAGUCUUAUGAUCUCAAUUAACCUGAUCUCCAUGUGCUCUUUCUAUAUAACAAUAUCCAGGCAAACAAUAUAUAUUCAGCCCCUUUUGUCCUCUUUUCUGUCAAUUUGAUCUGAUUCUCCCUAACAAUUUGACUAAACUACACCAACUCUACAUCCUCCUAGAUCAACAUGCAUCUUGCAAUUCUAUUACUUGUACAUUGAAUUAUUAUCCCAACAAACUCACCAAGUAUUCGAGAUUCUAAAUCAAAAUUCUAGUUGUUUCACAUUUUCAGUUAAAUUUAUUUAAAAAAAAAAUGAAACGGUUAAAUUUAAAAAAAAAACUAAUUAUCAAUUCACAUAAUCAAAGUUGCGUGGAAAAAAAUUGAUUUUUUAUCAACAAUACUAUUGCUUCUUUGUAGGGAGAGUUUUAAAAAAAAAGAAAAGAAAAAAAGGUAAACUAUAGUUUGAUGCAGAUGAAGAAUAACAACAGCUCAAAUGAUUUACAUUGUGUUUGCAAUGAUCUGCUACCACUAGCAGCUCAAGAAGUUUCUUUUUCUAUAUAUACUUCUUCUUUUCUUUCUUUCUUUCUAUUUUUUUCGCACGCGAUAUCAAUCGAUCUUCACCGACGAGAAGAGGUAGUGCACGAACCAGAACGACGAGACGAAGCCGACGGUGCCGGCGGCGAGCAUGACGGCGAGGACCAUCAGUAGGGAGUACCCCAGGUAGAGCGCGGCCGACACGGGCCCGCUGAGGCUCUUGAGGUCGAAAACUAGGUACUUCACCGCGUACACGAGCACGUACACCGCGACCGACCCCGGCGCGAAGAACGCCUUCCACCACCACCGCCAGUCCUCCGCGCAGAGGUGCACGUAAGUGAGCACCAGCGCGACCUCCGCGCAGACGACCACGAAGAGGCCCAACACCAGCAGUAGGAACCCGAACACGUAGUACACCCGGCCCAUCCAAAGGCUGGAGAAAAUGAAGAGCAGCUCGACGAAUAGCGUCGCGAAGGGCAGCGCCCCCGCCGCGAGCACCAGCAGCCACGGGGGGUACCUCCGCAUGGGGACCUCCCGCGGUAUCUGGUUAGUGGGCGUCGGGAAUUCGACGUGCGGUGCUUUCGCACCGAAGAAACCGCCGACGAGAGUCAGCGGCACGGAAAUGCAGAACCAAGUGAAGAGCAAGAAAGUAAGGAGAGACGAGGGGAGGGCCCCCGUGCUAUGGCUGGCCGAGAGAAGGCAAUUGAGGACGGCGAGAAUGAAAGACGCUAAGCCCGGGAACGCGCACGCGACGCGCCACGACACCGCGGGCCACCCGGCGGGGUCUCCGGAGUUGAGCGUCUUCCAUAGCCGGGCCGCGGCGUACCCGCCCGCGGUCCCGAGGACGAGGAAGAAGAGCAGCAUUCCGGAGAUGAGGGCGCCGCGCGCCGCGGGCGACAUGAACCCGAGGGCCGCGAAAAAGAUGGUGGCCGCCGCCAUGCCGAGAAUUUGCACCCCCUCGCCGACGAGCACGCAGAGCAGGAGCGGGCAGCUCGGCGGGCGGAAGGCGUCCCCCGCGACGAGCUUCCAUCCGGACAGCUCGCCGUCCUUCGCCUCCGCCGCCGCGUCCAGCGCCUCGUACCGCGCCAGGUCGCGGCGGACGGUCCGGAGCAUAAUUGCCACCGCCACGGCGGCGAGCAUCGCCACCACGGCGAGCGAGCCGAGUAUCGACAGCCAGUGCACCCUCUCGGCGCCGCCCUCCGACCGCAGGUACGCGUCCCAGCGCGACGGCCACCGCACCGCGCUGCCGACGAACUCGACGUCGUACGUGAACGCCACCCGCUCACCGGCCGCCACCCGCAUCCCCGGCGACCUGGCGUCGCACUCGAUCGGCGCCGGGUAUUCGUCGUACAUGUCUAGUCGCUCCGCGAGUUUCCGGUCGUGCCGGACGCUGCACGGCGCGACUUCGAAUCCGACGACCAUGAAUUCCUCCUCCUCCUCCUCGUCGGUGGCGUUCCUCGGGAUCAGCUGCUCGACGGCGACGUCGCCGGUGCCGGGGAUGAGAGUCGUCGUCAUCCGAUCACCGUCGUCGGCGUCGCCGUGCACGCGGACGGUGAACUUGAGGUGAUUGAAGAUGAAGUAGUCGUCGCCGCGGCGGGCUCCGAUGGGGAAGCCGCGUUGCUCGGACGCGACGUUGAUGGCGGGGAGGUUGUCGAGGACGAGGUUGGCGGAGUAGGCGGCGUCGACGCGUUGGCGGAGGAGGGCGAAGUCGCGGGGGGAGAGCGGGGGAGAGGAGCAGAGGAAGGUGCGGGAGGCGUUGAGGCGCAUGCGGAAGAGGUAGGGGGAGGACUGGAUGCGGUCGCCGAGGAGGAGCUCGCCGAGGGACUCGGCGGAGGGGCGGGGGCCGGCGGGGGGGGGGGGGGGGGGGGGGGGGGGGGGGGGACUGGCGCGUGCGUCGCGUCGGCUUCCCGCAGGACCGGGUAGAUGGCACAGGCAACGCGCGCCGCGGCGGUAAGACUGGGCGGGGGUAGGUGCCCGGAGGUAAGAAGGCGACGGAGGAAAGUGAGCAGGAAGGAGAAGGAGAAGGCGAAGAAGAAUGCAGAACUAGCUGCUGCUGUUGUUGUUGGAAGAGUGAUUUGGGAGACGACAUGGUCUUGAAGGAAUAAGGAAAGGAAGACUGGAAGUAAUGGUGAAAAUUGGGAUUUGGGGGAAUGGGGGAAUUGGGGUGGUGGGAUUUAGAUGGAGAGGUUGAGAGGAGAGAGAGAAGAGAGAGAGAGAGAGAGAGAGGGCAGGGGAAUGGAGAAGGAGAUGCAGCUUGAUGGGUCUUACAAUUACUUGACUACUGUUGGCUAGUGAAGGACAGAGAGAGGAGGCGGUAGGGGAAGUUGCUUGUUUAUUAUAGACGAUUCAAAACAUAUUUUCCAGAAGAAAAAUGCUAUUUGUAGUCUGUACACCUCUACUAUUAAUAUACAUAGUAUGAGUUCGGUUGCUGCAAUCGAUUGGAACAAAAGCCUAAUGUUAUCCGAAUUUUUUUACCGUUCUUUGCACAAAAUUUUAUUACUUAUUAAUGAGUGGCAGCUUUGGUUGAAUAUAUUAGGAAAAACUUCAAAAACCUCCCUGUGGUUUCCAACUUCUCACUUUUAGUAUCCAGUGGUUUAAAGUGUAUCAAUUUGUCCCCCUGUGGUUUUGUUUUUAUUUUUCUAUAAUUUUUCCUUAAUAUUUCGUUAAAUUAUAUGCAAAAAAAACAUGCAGAUAUCCAUCUAGAUUUACGCGAAUAUUUACUUUAGUACUGUUUAGUUUUAAUUUUGUUGCUGAUUUGAGAAAAAAAAAUAAUAAAAUUGAUAAAAAAAAAGAGAAAAACGAAAACUACAGGGGGGCAAAUUGAUAACUUUAAACCACAGGGUAACCAAGGUGAGAAAGCUGAAACCACAAGGGGGUUUUUUGAAGUUAUCCCAAUAUUUAUGUACCGUGAACAAUCAUUGCAACCGCGAAAGAGGGGUCGACGAAGCGGAAGCGAGGAUAAUAAGUAAGAACGGUUAGUUUUAGAAAUAAAUAUAAGUUUAGAUUAUAACAGAAACUAGAUCAAUUUUGUAUUUUGGAUGAAAAUUAGAUGUUUCCUAGAAAUAAGAUAAAUAGCGUUUGAAUGGUUAGAUUGACAAAGUAAAUAAAAGUUAUAAUUUGAAAUUAAAAUUAUAUUAUGUAAUUAAUUAACAUCAAAAUUACUUAAAAAUAAAUAAUAAAUUAAUUAUUCAUAAUUAAUUAUAAAUAAUAAUAAGUAUUAAUAAUUAGUAUAAUUAAUUAAUAAAAUAAUAAUUAAUAAUAUUGAUACUAAUUAAUAAUAAUAAUAAUUGAUAAUUAUUAAUAAAAAAUAAAUAAUUAUUAAUAAUAUCGAUUAUCUAAUUUUUUAAUAAUAAUAAUAAUUAUAUUUAUUAAUAAAUAAUAAUAAAAUUAUUAAUUAAUUACUAGUAUAAUUAAUAAUAAUAAUUAUCUAAUUAUUAAUAAUUAAUUACAAAUAAUAAAUUAAUAAUAAUUAUACGCUUAUACUACUUAUUAAGGAUAAUAAUUAUUAAUAAUUAUUAAUAAAUAAUAAUAUUUAUUAAUUAAUUAAUUAAUAAUUAAUUAUAAUAAUAAUUAAUAAUAAUAGUGAUUGUCUAAUUAAUAAUUAUUACUAAUUAACUAUAAUAAUAAUUAAUAAUACUAUGGAUUAUCUAAUUCAUUAAGGAUAAUAAUUAUUAAAUUAAUAAUUAUUAAUAAAUAAUAAUAAAUAUUAUUAAUUAUUAAUAAUUAAUUAUAAAUAAUAAAUUAAUUAUAAUAAUUAUCUAAUUAUUAUUAAUUAAUUUUAAUUAAUUAAUUAAUUAAUUAUUAAAGUAAUAAAUAAUAAUUUAAAUAUAUUAAUUAGAUUAAUUAAUAAUUUACCGUCAUUAAAAUUAAAUUUAGAUUUUAAUUAACCUUGUUCUUAUCAAGAAACAAGCUUGUUCCAGAAAAAAGGUAGAACAGCAGUUUCAGGACAGUUCUAGUCUUAUCCCAGCUUAUUUUUGAAAUCCUGGAACUACUGUUCCUGAGUAUUAAAUAUCACGUUUGGAAACAAAGGGAGGAACAAGGGCUUAUUCCUCUUCUUGUUUCCGAACCAAACGCUACCAAAAGGUUUUAUAGGGUUGACUUGAUCAACGGUGGAGCUUGAUCGAUCAUAGAUGGAUUUGAAAUAAUGUUAGGGACUUUUGACCAGUUCAAAUCCAGUUGAGCUCAAAAAUAUGAUGUAUGUAAUAAUAUUCAUUCAAUUUAAAAACAUAAGUCUAUCAGGUAUUUAUCCACUGAUAGAUAAAAACUUAAGCCUAUAAAUUAUAAACCCGCUAAUAAAUAAAAACUAAAGUAUAUCUGGUUUGGUUUCACUAAUAAAGAACUAGGCUGGAAUACUAUCAAUAGUACCAAGUUAUUGGUGCUAUUGAAUUUUUAGCCCUUGAAUUGAGAAAUAUGGAGUUAGAAUGAUGUGGGCCUCUUAGGAUUGAGUGGGUGGUUGGUUGAAUAGUAUAAUUUAACGGAUAAAAAUAAUCAAAGAGAUUAAUCUAACGGUAGAAAAUUUAAUAGCACAAAGUGCUUGAUGCUAUCGAUAGCAUGACAGCCGAAUUCCACUAAUAAAUAUCAAUUUUUUACUAUCUUAUUAAUUAUUCGAUUUCGAGUAGUUGUGCUUUAACCUACACUAGUCAGAAAUUCAUCCGAGCUUAUAUGCUUGACUUGCGUCUCUCGUGUCUGGUUGUUUUUUAAUGCAUCAACCAUCUGAGUCCAUAUACUUAAUAUACGCCUUUCGAAUCUAAUUCAUUUGAGUGUACUGAAACAUCAUAUCAUAUUAUCAUAACUUUUUUUUCUCUAAAUCCGUUGAAUUCGUAAGAAUCACUAAUUUGAUGUACUCUUAAAUAGAUAAUUUACCGACUAUGUAGAAAUUUUUCUUUCUUUUUUUUCCCCAUAGUGGAAGAUUUUUUAGGGCAAAAUUUGACUAACAAUUACGUAAAGUAGUUCUCCCAACCAUAUCGUUACCUAUCAAAAUUCUCCAAUUUUUUUUUUUUAGAGAUUCACAAAUACUAUAUAACUUUUUGGUUGCCGAAAUAGUUUUUUCGAAUUAAGUAUAUAAAUAUACACAAAAAGAUAUAAAAGAUUAUAGAAAACUAACAAUUAUUCAAUAAACAAAUAAAAAUAUUUUUAUAAACUAUUCAUUGUUAAUUGAAUAGUGUAUUAUAUAUUUUUUACUAUCGUAAGAAUAAUGAAUAAUAAAAUAAAGGCUAAAUUAUAUAAAUUCCUCCUUAUUAAAACUCGAUUUUUCAUUUUUCUUUUCUGUCAUUUAAAAACCUAUACUUUGCCCCCUUAUAAAAUAAAAAAUGUUUACUUUGCCUCCUACCGUUAGUAAUCCGUUAGGGUUCCGUUUAUAAAAUAUUAUUAUAUAUUUUUUAUGCCAAAAAUAUCCUUAGUCUUCUCUCCUGGGGAAAAUGAUGAGGGGCAAAAUGGUUAUUUUGUCAUCACAAUUCACAUCGUUCCCUCUGUGAACAUUUUUUAUUUUAUAAGGGGGCAAAGUAUAGAUUUUUAAAUGACAGGAGGGAAAAGUGAAAAAUCGAAUUUUGACAUGGAGGUUUUUUGUAAUUUAGUCUAGAAUAAAAUGAUCAAGCACAUUAUGCUUUAUACUUUUAUAUAUAUCCUUCAGUGUUAUAUAUUAUAAUUUAUAAAUGAAAUUAACUAUUAUUGAAUUUUACAAUUUUCUCGAAUUUUUGUUGAUUUCUAAAUCCAUUACUAGUUGAAUAACAGUGAAAGAUUAACAACUUAAAUUAAGCCUUCAAACUUGUAUUUGUUAGCAUCUUCGCAUACAUAUAUAAGCCAAACUUGACUGUAACCUUAACCUCUCGCAAUAGUUAACGCCUCUGUGUUACUAAACUCUUCUUGUUUUGUAAUAGAAGUAAAUCAUCCCUUCAAAGGGGAGAACGGCGUCAGAGCAUCGGGAAUCAAUGGCGGCAAUGGCACUAUCCUCGGCUGAGUCGUAGAAUCAGUAGGUGGCGGCAGCGGGUCUUGUAUCGGCACAAGCGGCGGAGGGAGCAGUGAUGAUGGUGGCGUGUCGUCGAACACCGAGGGUGGAAGUACUACCAGAGGGCCGGUAUCAUCCGAAACCAAAGGCGGCGGUGGCAAUGGCAGCAACGGAAUUGUCGAAGGACUUUCAUCUGGAACCAAUGGCGCUGGUGGAGUGUCGACAGGAAUUACCAACCUCGGCAGUGGAAAGUCAAAAUUCGGCACCAGCGGCGAGGGUGGCAGCGUGGAGAAUAUAGGGAGGAAAGGCGGUGAUGUGAUGUCGUUAGGUGGCGGCCGGGAGGGGACGAGAGGUGGAGGGAAUAAUAUUGGAAUUGUCGGCGGCAGAGGCGGUGAGGGGACUAGUGGUGGCGAUGGAGGUGGCGGCAAUGGCACGGGAGGCGGCAAAGGGGGCGGAAGGAUUAUAAUUGGCGGUGACGGAGGUGGUGGCGAUGGCACAAGAGGUGGCGGUGGUGAUGGAGGUGGCGGCGAUGGAACGAGAGGUGGUGGCGGAGGCGGAAAGAUUACAAUUGGUGGUGGCGGUGGGGGUGGCAAAGGUGGCGGCGGUGACGGUGGAGGAGGGGACGGUACGAGAGGUGGCGGUGGAGGCGGACAGAUUACUAUUGGCGGCGGCAAAGGUGGUGGUGGUGACGGUGGAGGAGGGGACGGUACGAGAGGUGGCAGAAAAAUAUACGAAGGGAAAUAAGGGGGUGGCAACGGGGAGGAAUGAGGAGGGGCGGGUAUAAAAGGAUUGUCGGGGGAAGGGAAAGAUGUAGAGAACGGCCAGCGCCCACAAGCGCCAACGAGGAAGCUAAACAAAGGAUCGCAAGUUCUACGUGAUGGACCUCUUCUGGUUCUGCUGGCUCUGCUUCUGCUUCUACUUUUUCUACUUCGCAGUUCAUUUUCGACCGUUAUUACACGUGGCGGAAGCUUGUUGUGCAAUUGGAGGUGUGUUUGUGUUGGUAAAAUUGUUGUUGUUGUUGUUGUUGUAGGCUGUGGGUGGGAGGAGGUGGGGGUUGUGUGGAGGAGAGUGAGGAGGAGAAGCAAGAUGAGUUUGAUGGGAAGUGUGGUGGUGGUGUUCAUGGCAUUUGUGAAAUAUUGCAUUCCUUUGUUCUCAUCUUCUAAGAAUAUAUAGAAGCAUCUGAAGAAAACUUGAACUAGGAACAAGAUCUAUAUAUAGAGGGGUGGGGGGAGUUAGUAAUUAAGCAUUGGGUUUUAUGAUUCUUAUUGUUUGUGCCACUCUGUUUACUCUUCUCAUCUGUGGCAUAAAUUUGACUUUGAGAAAUUGAGAAAGGAGAGCAAUUAUUGUAUGAAUCAAGGUGCAUUGAUUGGAGUCUCUAAAUGCUUCAUUUGGAAAGUACAACAAAUUUUUUAUUUAUUUUUAUAUAAUAAUAAUAUAAUAUUUUUAAAAAGUAUAUUUUUAUUUGCUUCCCCUUUAUAUCUUUUUAUCUAACAGCUUGAGACAACCCUCAAUAACAAAAUGGGCACUAAAAUUUUAAAAUACGUCAUAAAUUACAAAUGAGUAUUUAUUUAUUAAAUAAUCAUAAAAAUUGAUAAUACUAAAAUUAAUAUAUAUUAUAGAUAUAUUAUAAUUAAUAUAAAUUAUAUCCAUCAGUGUAAGAUCUCGUUUUAAUAGAUAUUCAAAUAUCUCGUUUAUAAGAUACUCAAAAAUAGAAUAGAAACAGAAAUAUAUUAUAGUUUAUUAGUGCCUACUCUAACUUAUUUAUAAUUCUUGGUUUACACAAGCUAUAUAUAUAUAUAUAGAGAGAGAGAGAGAGAGAGAGAGGGGGGGGAGAGAAUCAAAUAAAUAGUGGCUAGCUAAGGGGCUGUUUGGUUUGACGUAAAAUUGCGAAAAAAAAAAAUUUCGGUGGAAAAAAAAUUUUCGGAGAAAAAUAAAUUUUACGCUCUUAAACGUUUUGUUUGUAGGAAAAAAAAAAGUAAUUUUCCGUUCCGAUUGUUUGGUUGAAAGGAAAAGAAAAGAAAAAUAAAUAGAAAAUAAUUAUAUGUAUUUUGUCAUAUUAUAUAUAUUAUUAAUAUAAAAUAAUUAUCAUACUACAUAUAUUAUAUAAUUAUUAUAAUUUAUAUUUAUUAAUAAAUAUAUGUAAAAUAUAUUAUACAGUAAAUAUGUAAUGUAAUAUAUAAUUAUAUAUAUAUAUAUAUAUAUUUAAAUUCUAUAAAAUAAAUUAUUAUAUAUUUAUAAAUAAUAUUUAUAAAUAAAAUAUUAUAUACUAGUAAAUUUAUAACAAAAAUAAAAUAUUAUACAUAUGUAUGUACAGACAUAGAAAGAGAGGUCUAUGGUGGGUCCUCUCACGUGGUCCACAAGAAUAAGCUUUUCUCGUGGACCGCGUCUUUUUCCGCUGCCAUAAGCCGUGCCUUUUGGUAAAGAGUUUUCGUUUUCCGUGUAAAAAUGACGGAAAACGAAAAGCUUUGUUUUCAUCCAAAUCUGUAAAAAAAGUUUUCAUGGAAAAUCAUUUUACCACAACCAAACAACCAAAAAAAAUAAACAAAACGAAUAACAUGUUACCUAUUUCUUAAAAAAAAUGACAAAGAGUAUCAUUAGCAUUAGUAACUCACUGUACCUAGCACAAAUGACAAAGAGUAUCUGAUUGAUAUCCGAUAUUUUAAAUUUAAAUUUUAGUUGAUUCACAUUUUAAGUUAAAUUUAUUUUUAAAUAAAAUAAACAAAACGGAUAGCAUGUUAUCUAUUUCUAAAAAAAAAUAUUGGUAUGAGUAAACUCCAUGCACCAUUCCAGUAAACCAUAAAUCAUAUUGAAAUCUACAAAUAUAGUAAUAAAAAAAAUUCAUAAUUUUAGCAUGCAUUCUAUUUUGAGAGUUGGCAUAAUAAUAUUAUUCGGCUAACUUAGUAGGCUCACUGUCACGCCCCGGAUUACAUUUUCCCCGGGCACGCCGACAAAUCCGCCGUAUACAAAGAAAUUUUCCCUGUAUACGAAGCGAUAGCUGUACCUGUAAAUCAAACACUACUACGAACAGUAGUAGGGAGCUGCUAGAGAAAACAGAAGCUAAACCAACUGAGUUUCAUAUACAUAGUCCAAAUCCAAAAUACAAAGCUACUCGCACUGGCGAGUUAGGUCCAUUAUGUACAUAAACUCGAAACAAAACAUCUACCUGCAGUAGGGGCACCUCUAGCUCAGCACGUCGGGUAGGGCUCUAUCUCGCGACGCCCUUGCCUCGAUCCUGAUCCGCAGACGGUGCAGCAGCCGGAACCUGUGGCUCUGCAAAAAUAUAGGUAACAACUGGGCGUGAGAACUACUGUAAAAACAAGUAGUCCUCAGUGGGUACCGCCAAAAACAACAUCGGUCACUCACUAAGCUACAGAAGGGAGCAAGGAUAGUAGGAAAAGCAAGAAGUACACUCUACCGCUAUCAAUCACUACACUAUCAUGCUCUACACUAACCAACUGUAGGAAUAGUCAAGUCUGACCCAAUCCAAAUCGGGACUGUAAGCAUACCCGUCCCCGGGACUGUGAAUACACCCGUCCCUGCCCCGUUGCGACUANAGUCAAUAUCCAUCGACUUACCAUUGUGUCAAAUUGGAUUUACAAAUCUAAUUUUGAGUAAAGUCGAUCAAUCUGAUAUGCAUGUAUCAAAAGUUGUUUUAUCAAUAUUAUUUUUCUUUUUAAAUCUCAAUAUCUUUUUAUAGCUAAACAAAUAUGAAAUCCCCCCAAAAAAUUCCUCACCAUUUAUACACCAUUCACAUAUGCUCACUCCUAGUUAGAUCUUUUUUUUUUGGGGGUCAAUUACAUAUAGAUCCUUUCAAAUAUAGUGAAUUGCAGAUAUAUUUCUAUAAAGUUCAACUUUCAUAAAUUAUUAUUAUAAAAGUUCUAAUAUUUUCAGAUAUAUCUCUACCGUUAGAAUCGGUUAGAAAAAUUUAGUUAACCAUAGGUUAAAUACUUUACCCGGAUUAAUUUUUGACAUUUUUAUCCAUCUUAUAUUAUACUGUUAUAAUUUUUGAAAGAACAUAUUUGUGAUGGCAAAAUUGAAAAUAUAAACAGUUUUCUAACGGUUCUCUAACGGUAACAAACCAGAGGGACUAUCUGAAAACGUUAGGACUUUUGCAAGGAUAGCUUAUGAAAGUUGAACUUUACAGGAAUAUAUUUGUAAUUCACUAUAUUCGCGGGGACCUGUAUUCAAUUAACCCUAUUUUUUUUGAAUGAUACCAUCAAAUGCACGAAGCUUACUCAUUGGUCAUUGCCAACCCAUGCAUUAACGAGAAUAAGCUCCAAGCUCCCAAGAAAAUUUCAAGAAAAAGCUUUGAGACUCUCCAUUGAAUAUAAGUAUUAAAAUAUAAUUUAACAUGAUACAUAAGAGAAAGUACUAAAUAUAAUAUUAAAAAUACUAUCCUAUAAUAGUUUAAGCUUUUAGAGGAACCGAUUGUUUUACAUUGUGUAACAUUCCUCGACAUCUAGGCAUUUUGAAACUAGUUCAUGAAAUUUAUUAUUUACAAUAUUUGAACCCCAAAAUUCAAUUCUUAGAAAAGAACAUCAAAACAUAAUGGCCUCCAUAACUUCUUUUUAAAAAGUAAAAAAAAAAGAUAGAAACUACAUCUUGGCUGGAAUUUCACAUAAGAAUCUACGUCUAAGUGCCACAUAUAUUGAAAAGAUGUAUGGUAUACACUCUUUUUUGGAAUGUGAAUGCAACAUUAUUUUCCUUUUUAUUACUGUACCAAACUAGCUUGCCAACCCACAAAAUGUCCACAUUGGUUAAACUAUUAAAAUAAAGAAUAAAGUGGUCCAUAGAGAUGAGGUCUUCAUAUAUUGAUUUUUUCAGCCAAAAAUAAUACCAUUAUAUAUUUCUAAAAAUACUAUUUUUAUACAUUAUUCAUAUAUUAAACACUAAGUAAAAGUGUAUAAUUAGUUUAUACACACACUCUUAACAUUUUAGAGACUCAAACUUUUUCCACAACAAGUGGCAAAGGGCUUGAUGAUUGGUAUCCGAGAUCUCAAAUUCGAAUUCUAGUUGAUUCAUAUUUCCAGCUAAGUUUAUUUCUAAAUGAAAUAAACGAAGCGGGUAGCGUGCUACCUAUCUCUCUCUCAAAAAAAAAAAAAUCCACAACAAAUCAUUCUUACCUUUCUUUUUUUAACAACGCUUGCAGGUCGAUUAAACUUUCUUAUAGAAUGCAUAUAAACUCUUCUAUUUAGUGAAGAUAUUUGAUAGUGCAGUUUGCUAAGAACCCCAUAGUUGGUUCAUACUCUUAUUUUCUUUUGAAUUUUUGUAUACUCUCUCUCUCUCUCUCUCUCUCUCUCUCUCUCUCUCUCUCUCUAUUUUGUCCUUCUGCCCCACUAAUUUUCUUGUCUCCUGGCAAUCUUUAUUGGCAGCUGCCACCUGACUGUGCAGUCUUCCCCCUCAUCUGCAUCUUCAUCUUCAUCUGCCCCCACAAAGUUUGAAAGUGCUUUCCUUGUAGUCCCUGCAACUGUCCUUGUCCCUUCCCCACCCCCCCUGUUUUUUUUCUCAUUUCCUUUUUUUUUUUGAGCCCAAAAAACCAAAGCCUCAAAAGGUACAUACAUCCAAUUCAAAAAGAGUAGCCCCCCUCUGCCCCCACUACACAAGAGAUAGGGAGAGAGAGUAAUUAAGAGAGAGAGAGAGAGAGAGAGAGAGAGAGAAAGAGAGAGAGAGAAUUUCAAAUCAAAAGGCAUCAACCAACCCAGAUUCAAAUUGUGUGCUUGUUCCCAUGCUCAUCAUUCACUAUUUUUACUCCCUCCCCACUUCAUAAGAGAGAGAGAGAGAGAGAUUUGCUUAAGCUUCUCUUUGAACUUUAUCAGGGACAGGAGAGUGAGACCAUGAAUCCAACAUCAUCAUCAUCAUCAUCUCCCUUCCUAUCUCUUGUGAUUUGGGUCUUCUUCUUCUUCUUCUUCUUCUUCUUCUUCUUCCUACAAGCUCCCACCAAUGCAAGAGAACUACCUCCCAUGUCCUCUCCACUCCAUUCUCCCUUCCCAUCACCUCUACCCACUCUCAUUCUCCCCUCCUCUCAAAGCCUACCCAUCCCUGCAUCUCCCUCACCUGCAACACCACCUUCUACAGGUAAGAAGUUACUCAGAUUCCCAUCAUAACUUCAUCUUGGAUUUGACUUUGGGGUGCUUAAUUUAAGAUUUGGAGGGCACUUUUCGUAUAAAGAUUGAAAUUUGGUGGAAAAAAUUGUACCUUUUUUUCCUCUUUUUUUUGUCCUGCUUACUUUUGUGAUUGUAUUCGAAGGUUUGCCCUUUUAAUCUUUACAAUUGCUUCAUUUUUUUUGACCCAAGAUUUGAUUUUAACAGAAAUUUAAGGAAAACCAUAACUGUAAUUUAGCUUAAGAAACCAAAAUUUUCAUUUUUUUUUGUUUUCUGAGUGUAGUGAUGCAGAUCAUUGUGGAAAAACACCACCAUUACCACAAAGAACUAAUGGUGGCAACAGUUCUAUCUUCUAUUGCCAUUUUUAUGAUAAUUAUAUCCGCGUUUUGCGCCUGGAUCUUGUGGAGGAGAACUACUCAAACAGCUGAUUCCAAAGACAUCCAAAGCUCAGGUUUAUUUCAUCACAUAUAUUCCCAAUUAACCUCAAUUGUUUCCGCAAAUUGGGUGUAGGGAUUUAGUUCAUUUUGCCGAUUUAAAAUGCCGCAGAUUCUACUAUGGGAUUAGCUUUAGGACCAAUCUUGAACAAGUUGAAUUCAUUAAAGACGAGCAAGAAAGGAUUUUUGGCAAUGGUUGAGUACUCGACGUUGGAGUCGGCGACGAAUAACUUCUCCGAGAGCAAUGUGUUGGGUGAAGGGGGAUUCGGGUGUGUGUACAAAGCUUCAUUUGAUGGGGGACUUCUCGCGGCCGUAAAGAAGUUGGAUCAUGGUGGGCAGGAGUGUGUGAGAGAAUUUGAGGUGAAAUUCGUAGAUUAAUAAGUUGCUGCUCAAUCCAUUAACAUGAUUUGAUCUGCACUUUCACAUCUUCAUUUGUAAUUCUCUCUUGUAGAAUGAAGUGGACUUACUCGGAAGAAUUCGGCACCCGAACGUAGUUUCCCUUUUGGGCUAUUGCGUUCACGAAGGAAAGCGGCUGCUCGUCUACGAAUUCAUGCAAAAUGGAUCUUUGGAAUCACAACUGCACGGUAUCAUUCUUCGCGUAGUUUAAUCACUGGGCUUUUGGUACCUUUUUCUGGAGUGAUUUAAAGAUUGUAAAAGAGCAUAACUAAUCUCCGUAGGGGCGUCUCGUGGAUCGCAUUUAAGUUGGCACCUCCGCAUGAAAAUCGCACUCGAUACCGCGAGGUUCGCAUCAGGAAUUGGUUUCGUUUUCGAAUUUGGUGUUAAAUGAUUACUUUGUUUCUACUAACUAGCUUUUUUUUUGGGGGGUUUAAUUUUUGAGUAGAGGACUAGAAUAUCUUCAUGAGCACUGCAAUCCACCUGUGAUUCAUAGAGACCUAAAAUCCUCUAACAUACUUCUAGACGCCGACUAUAAUGCUAGGGUAAAUUCGAUUCGUCCCGAAUCUAUCUCAAACUCUUUCAAUUUUAUUUCGGCUAAAUCAAUUCGAAGAGUAAUCAAAUGCUGUCCAUGAUGCAGAUUUCAGAUUUCGGGCUUGCGGUGAAUGCUGUCGGUCCAAGCAAAGAAAAUGUUAAACUUUCGGGCACGGUCGGUUAUGUCGCUCCCGAGUAUCUAUUAGACGGUAUAUCAUGUCCAUUUCUUUUCCUUUUUCUGCGCUGUAAAUUAUGAUAACAUGUGAAGUAUAUCAAAUUGGGUAAUUUGCGACUGGUUUAAAUUUUCAGGUAAAUUAACUGAGAAGAGCGAUGUUUAUGCUUUCGGAGUAGUUCUUCUCGAGCUACUGGUGGGAAGAAAACCAGUGGAAAAGACGGAACCGUCUUUGCCGCAAUCUAUUGUAACAUGGGUAUGCUUUUUUCUUCUUUUUUUGGGAACUGUGUUUCUAAUUGAACUCCUUUUGAUGGAUUGUUUCGCGAAUUCGUUUAUGUGUGUAGGCCAUGCCUCAGCUUACCGACAGAUCAAAGCUUCCUAACAUUGUCGACCCCGUGAUCAGAAACAAAAUGGAUCUGAAACACUUAUACCAGGUAUAAAUCGCGAAACUCUAGUCUCAUUUCUUUGUUCUAACAUUUGAACCGCGAAGCUCCGUCAAUUUCUCUCAAACCAGAUACAGAAACCAUUAACUUUGUUUUGCUUUUUUUCAAAUCAAACAACGCAUUAAAUGAGGGAUGUGCACAUGAUUUUCAGUUGGAGAGUUGUCCCCACAUUUUGCCUAUAAACUUUUUCCGGACUUACCUGAUCGAAAAUGUGUGGUUUUCUUUUAAAAAUUCUUUUAGGUUGCAGCUGUAGCUGUGUUGUGCGUGCAACCGGAACCGAGUUAUCGGCCAUUAAUAACCGAUGUCCUUCAUUCUCUCAUUCCUCUGGUGCCCACUGAGCUUGGGGGGACACUUAGGGUCGUCGACUCAUCGCCUUUGAACCCGAAAGCCUUAUAAUCACCGAGCACUAUACAAGUUGGCACGAUAGUGACUCGAUUAAAGUUGUCGACAAGUGGUGCGAAAUUUUUCAUGGUUCAGAGUGUUUAACUAAAUUCUGGUGUUUUAGUUUAUGGAUCUUCGCUUCCGGGUGCUGUUGUAAAAAUCAGUGACUCUGCAAUUUUGUUCUUGAUGAGUAAUUUAUUGUAUAGUUUCAGAGUUUUUCGGGCAUCUUGACUUUAUAAUCUGAAAUGGAUUGGAGUGUUUGGUUGAACUCUUGAAAUAAGAAGCAGUUUCUGUUGAAAUUAGGGAUCAAAAUUAUGCGGUUAUAGCAUCUAAUUACCUUCAUUUUAUUUCUGAAAUUAAUACGAUGAAUCAUUUUGUCGGUGAAACUUACUGUUCUUAUAUGAAAUCACUUGAGAAAAUUUCUAAUGUGCAACAUUAUCCAGUUAGUAUAUUAAAACAAGUGUGUUUUCUUAAACUUAAUCUAAAUUUGCUAUUAGAGUAUACUUUUGGAAGAUCUUUAGCUAUCAACAUAGCUAAUGUAUGGAACCUCUUGGUUCCGCGUCGCUUUUGAUUUCGUAGAAUUAUUCUUAAAAAAAAAAAGAAAAAGAAGGAACAUCAUAGUGUGUAUUUAGGUAAGAAAUUAAGAUCAUCUUAAGCUUUCUAACCUCUCUUUAGUGAGAAGCAAGUGGAAAAUUUAUUAGGUGAUUGAAAUAAACCUCUUCUUAUCACAACCUAGUUAUUAGGUGAUUGAAAGUUUAUUAGGUGAUUGAAAUAAACCUCAUCUUAUCCAACACACCAAUGGAGAUGGUAUUGCUCUUCUUUCAUCAAAACCUAGUUUGUAUGCUCCAAAGAUUGCAUCAUACACUGUGAAAAAGCAUGAGAAAAAAAUAUUUUAGUUGUUUCCGUAUGUAAUAUUAUGUUGCACAUACCGUAAUAAGUCGAUUACGAUAUAUUUUUUGUAGUUCUACCGAAAAUUUUCGUAUGUAAUAUUAUGUUGCACAUACCGCAAUGAAUCGAUUACGAUAUAUUUUCUGUAGUUCUACCGAAAAACGGAGAAGCCUAUCUCUAUACAUUUUCACCCAAAUUUUAUUUUACGAUAUAUUUUCUGUAGUUCUACCGAAAAUGGAGAAGCCUAUCUCUAUACACUCUCACCCAAAUUUUAUUUUAUCUCUGAAUACUAAAUAGACUCUUAUUGUUUAUGUUUGAGGUUGAAUUUUGAGAUCUCAAUGCUAAAAAUAAUAAAGAAUGUGUCAUAUAUUCCAUAAUCUGAGCAUUCUUUCACUAUAGGCCAAUAAAAAAAGCUAAAAUGAAACCAAGAGCUUCAAAAUCAAAAAACACCAAAUUGGAGCUGCUUCCAUUAAUACUGUUAGAAGUUGCUAAGAGAAUAUGAUUUUCUCAUAAUAGGAUUGUUUAAUUAAUACAUUAUUUGCCAACACUACGUGUCCACAGUGUUAAAUUAUAUGAAAUAGUCGUCUUUCUUUAUAAGCUUAAGUUGGCCGGGGAUGGUGAUUUUAUAUUUUUAUAUUUAACACUUCUCUUUCGUUUGGGCUUGAGAUUUUUUAAUAGAGUCGUGACGUGUAUUUGAAUCAAAUAGAAGGAUAUUUCUAUUUUAACACUCUUUCUCGUAUUUAGGCUCGAGAUUUUUUAAUAGCUCGCGACUUUUAAAUGGAUUUAUAUAUGUCAUAUAUUUGAGUUAAAUAGAAGAAAAUCAAUUAUACCAUAGGUUUGACGGAACUCGAAUUACAGAUCUCUUCUUAUACGAAAUAACCACUUAUCUUUAAAAACUUAAAUUGUCAGAGAAUAAUAAUUUUAAUAUUUAUAUUCAACACUCUUCCUUACGUUUGGACUUGAGAUAUCUUGAUAUGAUGUUCAAAACAUGAACUUGAAUUAAUAGGAGAAAAUUAAUAAUACUGGGAAUAUGAUCGAACUCUAACUAAGAACCUCCUAAUUUGAUGCUUCGUUACCCGAAAAAAUCAAUUUAAUAAAAAACAAAUCUAGAAAUAUAUAUUAACACAUGUAAUAUUCACCCUAACUGCUUUUCCCACCCAAAAAAAAAACUUUUGUGAGGUACCGAGGUACAAAACAAAUGGCAAGCAUCGUUUCUUUCUUUCUUUCUCCUCCUCCUGCUAUUCUUUGGAUUGGGGAUAAGGGGUGGAAUAACCUCUUAUCCCCUUUUAUACCCAAACGUUAAUUUUUUACUCAAGAAUAAUAGUUUUCGGGUAUCUGAAAUAAGCUGGUAUAACUAUCCCCACUAAUAUAUCUAUUUUCUAUAUAUAAUUACUCACUAUUUUGAAGUUUUUAGUGCAAUAGUCUCCCUUUAAAAUUUUAUUUUAAAAAUAAACCUGUUAANAAAAUACUAUUACCAUCGACUUUGUUCUAUAAACUGAUAGUAAAAUCAGAUUGUGUUGCCCAAAGAAAAAGAAAUUUUUAGCAGAAGGGUCAAACCAAAUAUUCUAUAGCAUUUUAAUGUUGUCUUUUAUUGUCAUAAUAUCUAAUAUUAUCCAUCUACUCAAUCUCAUAGAAAAUAACUCAGUAGUAGUAUUAGUAGUCUCAGCACUAUUGCUAACGUGAGAAUUGAGUCUAACUAAACUCUCUUGAACAGAGGAGAUUUAUGACUGACUCUGAUACCAUGUUAUCUACUGAAGUGGUUUAAUAUAUAGAAAAUAUUUCAGAAAUAAUCUUAAUGACACAUCAGAUAAACUAUCUGAAAGCCCGACCUAGUAUGAACGCCGUAGAUAUAUGAUAAUGCUUGUUAUAAUGAAAACAACAGCAUGACCACCAUCUGAUUUCUAAUUCCCUAUUAAAUAUAAGUAGGAAAUAAUCCUUUUUUCUCCUCCUCUUAAUUUUUUUAUUUUUUUGAAAAAAAGGCUUAAAAAAGAUCUACAAGUUGUUGAGAAGUAGUUCUCCUUUUUUUUGGAGUAGAUGGUGUUUGGUGCAUUAACUAGUACUGUUUUGGACUAAUUACAACUUACAAGUACAAGAGAGGUGAUCACUGAUCAGCUUUGUUUGAAACUACAAAUUAUAUAAUAUAAAAUUAAAUAGAGUCCGACCGGGAUACUAUCGAUAGCACCAAGCACUUAGUGCUACCGAAUUUUCCGUCGUUAGAUUUAAACCUUUGAUUAUUUUCACCCGUUAGAUUAUACUAUUCAACCAACAACUUGCUCAACCCUAUAAGGCCUAUAUCAUUCUAAUCGUAUAUUUUUUCAUCCAAAGAUCGGAAAUCUAAUAGCACCAACAGCUUGGUGCUAUUCAUAGCAUUCCAGCCUAAUUCAAUUAAAUAUUGUGAUUUUUUAUGUAAAGAAUAUUACGUCGCGUAAAUCACAUUUUUUAGAUUAUAUUUUUUUUCCAACUCUUUUUUAUUUACUAGUGUUAGAUAAUCUCUGAUACCGAAGAGACCCUUAAUUAGACUUACUCAUAUUAAUAUCAUUAUUUUUAUUAGGUUGAAUUUUAUUUUGUCAUUAUGUAUUUAAAAAGUUGCACUCAACUACUCUAUGGUUUUAUCUUUAUUUUUAAUCCAAAAAAUUUGCAAGUUUUUAUUUUCUUUUUUUCACUUUCUACACUUUUUUUUUUUUUUUUUUACAAAUGUACCACUCAACUAUCCAUUUUUUCAAUCCCUACAUGGUAAAGCAUAAACCAAUUAUUUUAUAUAAAAGAUGUUAAAAAAUAUUAAUUGAAAGUAGCUGUGCAUAUAUUCAACUCGUUUGAACAAGAAAAUUACAAAAUAUAAAAAGUUGAAAAUAACUUGAUAAAACUUUUCAUUGAAUCCAUCAUGAAGAUUUACUUUACAUUCUUUUCACUAUUUAGCCAGUGUCUUCUAAUAAAGUUGUUAAAUUUUACCUAAAAUAAUAUAUUUGUUACCAGUAAUAUAUAUAUAUAGGCAAGAAAAAAAUAAUUGAAGGAUAUUUAUGAGAAAAAAAUUAUACAAGAUAGAAAAAUAAAAAUAAAUUUAAAAUACAAGAAAGAGAUUGAUAAAAUAUAAUAAUAUUUCAAACAUGACUCGAUUGUAAUUUGAUCCAGCCAGUCUCUCGCAAUUUCGAACACGACUCGGCCCAAACCGAUAUCCUGCCAUUUCAAACGUGACUCGAUCCAACUUGAUCUCCCGCAAUAAAACAAGAUGCUGGUCACUUUAAGUCGACAUAUGAUACUUUUUAGUCAACAAACUCUAAUGUAUUAUAAUUUUUAGAUUGAAUUAAAUUAUUGUAAUGAAUUUCUUCAGUCAAAUUUAGUUGAUUAAAUAGUAAUGUAUCGACGAUAUAGUAUUACGAGUAAGCGCCUCGCACAACGAUGUGAAAGUUUAGGUCAAUUCACAAGCCCUAGUUUCUGCAAAUCAUCCAAUAUCAAGCAAAUGCCAUGUCUAAGCCCAAAGAUUUUUCUAAAAUAAGUCCAGGGCCACAAAAGUAGUCAAAUCGUUUGCUUUUGGCCUUGAUAUCCAACGUGGUAGUCAUUCAUAUCCAACGUAUCAGUAUUUAAUCAAUUAAAUUCGAGUGUGGGAUAUAAUUAUAAUAAUUUAAAAAAAUUUGAGUCAGAAAUUAUAAUAAAUUAAAAUUUUAAGAUAAGGUUCAUGGACAUUAAAGUUUGAGGACCAAAAGGGCAAAUUGACCAACAAAUAAAUUGAAAAAAUACUAAAUUAUAGAAAAUUUCUUAUAAUACCGGUAUUUUCACUUUUCCUUCUUAACUUUCAAAAAUCUAUAUUUUACCCCUUAACAUUUCAAGUUGUUGCAUUUAAUCCCUCCUCCGUCAGGGUUCUAUCAUUAUUCCGUCUAUUUUUUAUAAUUUAUAAAAAAUAUUAAAAAAAUUAUGUUUUAAGGUAUUUUGAUCAUUUUGCCCUCUCUAUUAAUGCUAUACCCCCUGAGAAUAUUUCAGAAAUUUAAAAGAGGUAAAUGUAGAUUUUUAAAAAUUUGAGAGGACUAGUAAAAAAAAAAAAUAUUUACAGAAAAAUUUUCUAUAAUUUAACUAAAAAUAUAUUUAUACAAGUCAACUUUUCUAUUUUAUAGACAUUCGAAACCAAAUAGUUUACAGCACAAAAGAGAGCCCAAAAUUAAUAUGGUCCAGUAAAAUAAGUUACAAACCUCGAAAUAAAAAGCCCAAUAACAAAAUAAAUCAACCCAAACCAAAUUUAGACAUUUCAGUUUAAACCUGUUUUGAAUUUUUUGUGACUUUUUGGUAAGCUCAGGUUUAAAUAUUUACAAAUUCUAAAUUUUUAGUUUUGGUUUGAGAAACCGCAAAGGGCCUUUAUGCAAAACUGAGAGUUACUAGGCGUUAACAUGAAAUUUUCACCUUAUCAAAAUAAACACUUUUAUUAUUUGUUCUCUGUGUAUAAAUUCUUGCAAAUCUUUUUGAAUGAAACUAAAGUUUUAAAAGCAACACAAAUGAUUACCAUAUUAACCAACUUUGUCAUCUUCUUAAUAUCUUAGUUUCUUCUAAUGAAGUAUUAACAUGAAUUAUAUAAAUUUUAUUACAAAUUUAAAAUUUUAAAAUUAUUUAAAUAAGUUGUUUUUUAUUUUUGGAUUAUGUUUGAUAUAACUGGUAAUCCUUAAUCACGUAAUGGUCUCUUUGUUUGGUGCUAAGUGAUAUUUCCGUUGAAAAUGACUUUCAGUUGAAUUGAGAUUCAGACGAAAAUUACAACUUUCACAGUAGCACGUGAGAAAAUUUUUAAAAAAUACAAUAGCUAAUGUUUUAUUUUAUUUUAUUUUAUUUUUUGUAAUUGACUUCGACACCAUUCAACGUGAAAGAGAGUUACGAUGUUUUGAAAAAUAGAGUUAUGGAUAAAUUUAAUUUAUGAUUAAUCAAACAAUAAAUCUAGGCAUUUGUGAUCGAAAAGAUCUUUUCUUUUCUCCACUCUUGCUGAAACAAACAUGUCUUAAAAGUUAAUUUUCCAUUUAUUUUGUGACUUUACUCACAAAUCUAAACAUUGGCUAUAUAUGUCACUAUGGGAGCUUCUUGUAAAAAGGUUUCUCUAUAAUAACUACUUUAUAUAAAAAUAACAACAUCUAAUUAAAUAUUUUAAAGUAUCAAUAAAAAUUUUAAUAUCAUUUUAAUUUAAAAUUAAUAAAUUGUUUGUAGUUUUUUCUAUUCAAAUUCAAAAUGUUAGCGGAGGAGUUUUUAGUCAAAAGAUAACAAAAANNNNNNNNNNNNNNNNNNNNNNNNNNNNNNNNNNNNNNNNNNNNNNNNNNNNNNNNNNNNNNNNNNNNNNNNNNNNNNNNNNNNNNNNNNNNNNNNNNNNNNNNNNNNNNNNNNNNNNNNNNNNNNNNNNNNNNNNNNNNNNNNNNNNNNNNNNNNNNNNNNNNNNNNNNNNNNNNNNNNNNNNNNNNNNNNNNNNNNNNNNNNNNNNNNNNNNNNNNNNNNNNNNNNNNNNNNNNNNNNNNNNNNNNNNNNNNNNNNNNNNNNNNNNNNNNNNNNNNNNNNNNNNNNNNNNNNNNNNNNNNNNNNNNNNNNNNNNNNNNNNNNNNNNNNNNNNNNNNNNNNNNNNNNNNNNNNNNNNNNNNNNNNNNNNNNNNNNNNNNNNNNNNNNNNNNNNNNNNNNNNNNNNNNNNNNNNNNNNNNNNNNNNNNNNNNNNNNNNNNNNNNNNNNNNNNNNNNNNNNNNNNNNNNNNNNNNNNNNNNNNNNNNNNNNNNNNNNNNNNNNNNNNNNNNNNNNNNNNNNNNNNNNNNNNNNNNNNNNNNNNNNNNNNNNNNNNNNNNNNNNNNNNNNNNNNNNNNNNNNNNNNNNNNNNNNNNNNNNNNNNNNNNNNNNNNNNNNNNNNNNNNNNNNNNNNNNNNNNNNNNNNNNNNNNNNNNNNAAGGCUAAAUUACAAAAAAAAAAAAAAAAAAUCACAUGCACUUUAGCCCAUUCUCAAUUAUAUCCCUAUAUUAAAAUUGUAUCAUUUACCUUAAUUUAAAAUGAUAUAAAAAGUUUGGAAUAAACUGUUUAACUUAACUAUAAAGCUUUAUAAAAAAUGAGUGAGAAAUAAAAAUUACUCGUAAAUUAAUGCAAUAGAAUUAUAUAAAUAAAUUAAAUUAUUCAAUAAGCUCUCAAUUUCAUGGUAUUAACAAAAUAGAAGAUCCUUUUAUCUAACUUUUUAUCUACGUUUUGAGUUACAAUUAGAGAUAAAUGUUGAAAUUGAAAAAAAAUAUGAUGUUAAGUAACUUUUUACAAUCUAAUUUUUAUGCGCAAAUUUUGAACCAAAGUAUCAUUUGUAGCCUUUUCGAGUUUCUUGCUCACAAAUGGAAAGCAUAAACCUUGCGCAGCAGAAAGCAUAAAGGGGGAGAAAUUAUUGCUUGCAUCUUUUAUUCAAAAUUAAGUAUAUCUUAAAUUAUUAUGUAAAAGGGUUAGUUCUUUGUUUGGAUAUUAGAGAUUGAAUUUGUGGUACUCUGAAAGGUUAUUUGCGUUAGUGUUUAUUAGCACUAAAGUGCGGAAGACAUGUAAAUGUUGAUAAAAACUUUCACUGAAUUAUAUGAAAUUGGCCUUUGACUUUCAUAAAUAGGAGGCAAAGUCGAGUUUGUGAAACUCACAAAUUUCUUGCUUCAUGACAUUUCUGUUUCAAAUAAUCCCUUAAUCCAAUUAGAAAUUUUAUUGGGAUUACAGAAAUAAUAAUGCCACUAUAUUUUAUUUAGAGUGAAUAUUAUUGAAUUGAGAUAUUGUUGCAAGGCCAAAUUACACUAUGUACAUUGAGAAAAUAGAAUUUACUUGUUUGUUUAGUAGGAGUAGCACCAAGUGCGUGUGUUGUAAUAAGUUAGUUAAUAUAUGUUUUUACGAUUUUAUCUGCAACGGAGAAGCAUAUUUCAAACUUAUUUUAUGAAAAAUGUGCCUGCAAGUAUGAAAGUAAUUAUGAAAUUUUAUGGAGAUAUUAGUCAUUUAUGAAUUGUAUUUUAAAUUUUAUAAAAUAGUAUCUUUUAAUUAUUAAUAUAUUAGUAAUUAUAUAAUAUUUUUCACAAUCAUGUGUAAACUUAUUAAAUUUUCCAUGACUAUAUAUGACUGCUAAAAAUUAUAUAGGGGUUUGGAAUAUUUUAAAGUGGUUCCUCACAAUAUUUUAAGGUUGUGAUCUUACAACUUGGCCCAUCUAAGGCAAUUGUAAGAAAAGUCCAUUAUUUUUUUUUGAACUAAAAACUCAAAAAGAGUUGGAUAAGACCCUUUUGGUCCAUUAGAUGGGGUGUUUAAAAAUUAAAAAACUCCAAGAUGUAGGUUUUGUUUUUCUUAUUUUAGUGUUAGAAGAUAGUAAUAAAUAUCUAAUUAAUUUAUAAAAAAAAUAUGACAUAUAUAUAAUUUACCAAGAUAAAUGCUAAAUCUGAAAAUCAAGAGUGUACACCAAUGUCUAGAAUUAUCCUAUAUUUAAUUUUUGGUGAUAAAAAAAAACUUUGAUAAGACUUCGUAGAAAUAGCAUGAUUCUGAAAUGAUCAAAUAGAUUUAAUUCUAAUACUACUCUUAUACUAAGACAGAACAAUAAUGUCUUAUUUCAAAAAACAAAACUAUCAAAAAGAUUUGAGUGGGUUUAUUUCGCUGAAGUUGAGAGAAGCACAUUUGUGAGUUUCAAACUGUACGCCUGAUCUUUCAAUUUUAACUAUGGUAUAGGAGAAAGGUCGCGUUUUACAUCAUACAGAAGUCAGGACCGAUGCUUACAGGUGUACACUUUCAAUGCUUUCCAUGUCUAUUCUUCGAAUUUAUCGAUCCUCCUCACAAUAUUCGCACUUGCAGUUCGGCAAGAUAAGAAAUUUCGGCGUCGGAGAUCGUGUAAACUAAACACUUUCUAAGAUACAUUUCCAAAAAAAAGGGCUAGCUAAUAAAACCGCUUACUUCAUAGGACAUAUGUUCAUUGUUCUAAAAUAGAAGACAAAAAGUUAAAGGCGAUUUCAAAAAGAAAAAUAUGAGAGGGGUUCCGAUACUAUUUUUUACGUAAGAGAUUCUCAAAAUCGACCUCAACCCGUACGGUCGCUCUCGUGCGCUCCUCCUUUUUCUUCGUCGAGUCUCCUCCACUUCGAGGCGAAGUCUCCCAAGUCCACCUCUCUCUCUCUCUCUCUCUCUCUCUCUCUCUCCUCUCCUCUCCCUCCUCCUCCUCCUCCUCUCCGCCAUGGGCGAGAGCUUCGAGCUCGAGCUCAGGAGCUCCGACCCCGUCAAGGAUCCGCGGACGAUCGCUAGGAAAGUAAGUGUUCCCUCCCACUCCACGAUUUUCUCCCUUUUUUUUGGUUUUGGUGAUUUUUGGAUUUUUUUGAUCGUGAUCGGAUCGGAUUUGAUCGGGGAUGGUGGGGUGGGGGGUAUGAAGGUACCAGUUGGAGCUGUUAAGAGGGCGGUGGAGAAGAACACGAUCGUGUACCUGGGCACGGGGUGUGGAAGACGCACAUCGCGGUGGCUGCUCAUGUACGCAGCUCCGCACUCAUUCGCAAGCGAGCAAGCAGGUCUGCGUCUUCCUCGCUCCCACGUCCCUCGUUCGACAGGUGCGUCACGCGAUUUCCCCCACCAUUUUUUGUGCUAGGAGGUCGCUCGAUAAUGGCGAUGUUUUGUGCAGGGUUAGUUAUGGGGCUUGUUUUAAAAGCUACCAUGUAGUGAGGGUUAUGGAACCUCACUUUGAUUAUUAUAGAGCAUAUGUAUUGUAGGGAGUUUACAUCGCUUUCACAUGGUUUCAGUAUUACUUUGUGCGAAAAUGGGAUUGGCAGUAGACGACUUGAUGCGGCAAGAAAAUCGCUAUUUGCUAGUUUUGCAUGUAUGAUGAAGGAAAAUUUGCAAGCAAUUCUGCGAGCGUAAUGAGUGUUAGAAAGUGAAAAAGGAAGCUUGGUGUGAAAGAUGGUCUAGAUGGCGUGAUUGAAAGUGGGCAAUCCUUCAUUAUUCUAGCAUUUUCUAAAUAUGUAUUUUCUGUUUAGUGGUUCUAAUACUUGAUAAUAUCUUUAAAUUUCAUCUUAGUCAUGCAUAUUAUUCAAUACAGAGCUUUAUCGUAGUUAACUGGAUCUCAUUAUUGAGAAGAAGUAACCUCUAUAUUUCUGCAGCAAGCCAUGGUAUUGAAAAUCACUGAUUUCAAAGUUCGGUGCUACCAUGGGCACAGUAAGAAUUUAAAGGACAUGAUGAUUGGGAACAUGGAGAUUGAACUAUCUGAGGUACGCAUGCUUUAGAUAUGAGCAAGUGCAAUAUUGUUUAAUACUGUAUCUUGUGAUAUUAAGUACGUUCAAAUUAUUAGUUGUGGAUAGCUAUUUAUUUGUUGGCAUGCAAAAUCAAGUUACUUCUAUUAUGGCAUUAGUAGCCGGAACAUAUUUAUAAAUGGAAAAAUUUCACUGAAUGCUUUUUUAAACUGCCGUUUUCUUUUCUCAUUAAAUCAAGCAAGCACCAUAAUUAUGCUUAGCUAUUAAUAGGUUUUCAACACCCAUGAUCUUUAGUUAUAAUCUCUAUGUUUUAUUGUGUUUACUUAUUGGUAGUAACAAUUAGCUAUAUCUGACUUUGUUUGAAAUGUAUGUUUAUUAUGAAUUUAGUACAAGCAGCAUAAUAAAUGAUAAAGGGAUUCUAAAGAGGGCUAAUCAGCAUAAAUGUAUGAUAAAGGAAUUCUAAAGGCGAAAAUUGAAGAAACAUUAGAUGCACAUGAAAGAAAACUUAUAACCAAUUUGAUUAGAGCAAUUUGCGAGUAGUAUAAAUAAAGGAAGUUAUAGCUUAUCAUGACUAAUUAUGUCAUAGAGAGGAAAUAUUGAAAAGUACUCAGGUUAGGCAGUUGAAUGUAAAAUGAGCAUGCUUGCGAAACCUCUAGAUGGCCGUUUGUUGAGAAAUGAGCAUGUUAUUGUAGUCUUUAGUUGGUUGUAUCGCAGAAUGGACAAGGAAGAUAUGACAUCGUUUUCUCUCGUCUAAAAUGCUAUAUGAUAAAGCAAAAUGAAUUUUUUUAAAAUCCUGCUUUCACUUGAUCCUGACGUAAUCCCCAAUCAGAUAGCUAAAAAUAUAAAUUGAUCCGCUUUAAGUCUUUAAUGCUCUCGAGCUCUAAUUGAAAAGUUUAUAAUAUGCUCUCCAAAGUCUGGGAAAUUCUAGAGCAGUAAAAUGCGGAUUUUAAAAAUUGUUUUGUUUUUCCGUUCCACAAUAGUUGAAAUGUUGAACCAAAUAUUAUGGGUGCUUGUUUCAUUGUAGUUGAACAGAACUUGAAUGGCAUGGAUUUUAAUGAUAAUGAAAUUGAAGCUUUGAUAUCAAGGAGUUAAAGUGCCUAUUGCACGGACUAUUAUCCACCGUGCAAAAAAUAUCAGUUAUGCUAUAUGUUCUCGUGUCGAUGCACAACUCAAAAACUUUUUUAAAUUAGUAAGUAAUUUUCUCAAUAAAGUUCAAAGAUUUGAUAAAAUACAUAAUAAGUAAUUAGAAUAUUUUUGUUGCUCAAGAAAAAUAAUAUUUCAUAUUUUCAUGCCAUAAUGUGUUGGCACAUAUGUAUUUUUUGUGAUUUGCACGCCUCGGUACGGCCCAGCAUGACCAGAUCGUUCGUGCGGCGUCGUUUCUGCACGACGCCUGUGCUAGACACUUAAAUCCUUGCUUGAUAUAUGGCAUUUAGUUUGCUUUGCAUAUUAAACCAGAAUGAUUGGCUAGCUUUGGUCCUAUUCGUUUGGAUUGUUCGAGGUGGAUCUGGUGGGAUGAACUGCUUUCGAUCUCAUCUAAUUUGACUUGAUUAGACCGUAUUAUCAUUGAUUGAACCAUUCAAAUCUACUUUAGUUGUGACUAGCUUUGGGUGUUGUUGCCAGCUUUGAUGAGACCAGAACACCAGAGAUUUCCACUUGUUCACUGGAGUGCAAGUGAAUAUUCCCCUUUUUCUGAAAUAUGUUUUAUUGGAGAUUGCAUAUAUUACUCGCACAAUUACGCCAAACAAAAGAUGGCACUCCUCACAUAAGCUCCAGUUUUAAGCCUGAAUUUCAAUCAAUAAUAAGUCCUUGUGUCAGAGCUGAAUGAUGCCUAUAGACAUUCUUUCAGCUACUGCCAGUUUGUCAUCAUUUUAUUCUAUGUGUUAUUCAUAUCAUGCUUAGAAAAACGUCCACUGUAUUUGUGCUUAUGGGUGCAUAAAUUUUGCUCCAGAAAGUUCAUACUGAAUAAUUUGUAUAUCUUUUCCUGAAAUGGUGUUCUUGAAAGGAACAAAGUGUGAUAGAACAAGAAUGGUAUGCUGGAGACAUUAGAUUAUUCGUGACACUAGAUUUUCAAUCUCCGUUAGUAGAAUUGAAGUUUCUCACUUGCUUGAAAGAAUUAUCUCGUCAUCGUGAUGAUAGACCUGAAUGACUAAAUGACUACACUUUGGAACUUGAAUGUCGAUACCUAUGUAAUCAUGGAUUCAUGAACAUUGAUGGUGAAGGAGGUCUGUUCAAUUAUGUGUGGCAGAUGGUUAUAGGCUUACGUUUCCAAUUGUCUCUUACUAUUUUGUGUAGUAACAGCCUAUUGCCUUUUCUGUUGGUAUGUUGGCAGAUUGACAUUUCUUUACCCCACAGGUGCUUGUUAUGACCCCACAAAUAUUGCUAAUAAUUUGAGGCAUUUGUUUUAUCAGGAUGGAUUUGAUUGUGCUUCUUAUUUUUGACGAGGUUCAUCAUGCACAGGCGCAGACGAGGCAUCCAUAUGCACAAAUAAUUGAAAGUAUUUUGUACAAAAUCCAAAUAAAGAACAGACAUUGACAAAAUACCCUACGGUGCUUAAUAUCUUUCUUGUAAAAAUUUAGAUGAAGGACAGAUUCAUAUUGAGAAAUGCAAUAUUUUUUGUCAUAGAAUUCUCUUUAAUAACUUUUCAGGAAUUUUAUAAACCAAUGGCAUGAAAGUUCCUGUAUAUUUGGAUGACUGCAUCACCUAUCAUUGGAAAAGUAACGAAAGGCUGUGGCAGUGUCUAACCUCUUGUUGAGAGUCUGUUGUUUUUCUUGUCUAUAAACUGUCAUGCUCUAUGUUUUGAAUUUUAUAAGGUAUUGACCUAUUUUAAUUUAUCAUUAAUCAAUUUGAGUUUUUAAUACCAUUCAUUAACCAUUUCUCUUAUAUGUCAGUAUAUAAUAUGACAGAAUUUAUAUAAAUCAUGGCUUUAAAGCUUAAUGAUUGGUUUAGCCAGUUAAUGUGGUUCACCUUUCUUUUUCAAGCUUAAAUUCUACGCUUAUGCCUUAUGCCCUUUCCUACAAGGAGAACAAAGAGGGGACAGAGGUAUGUCAACCUUGUUGAUCUAGGUCAUGAAGUUUGCAAAUUCAAUUUAGUUCUUACAUAGGAUGAGAAGAAAAUGUUGCUUUAUUCUGUUGCAUUGUCUAGCUGCUAUUUGUUUGGUUGUUCUUUUUAAUGCUUUACUGCUGUUAACUUGUAUAUUUCACUAUUCAUUUAUCACUCGAGGUUGAUUUUCCCUUUUCUCUAAUUGGAUGAAUCUAAAUUUGAAGGCAUAGCAUUUACACCAUUUUCUAAUAGCUUUGGCAUUAUCUGUUGAAACAUAAAUUGCAAGUAUCUUUGCUAUAUAUUUGUUUUGUCCAGACUCUGAUUGCUUUGCUAGCUUUUGUUGCAUUUCUUUCUUUUUUUUUGUCUUCAAAUUUGGGUUUUUUUUACUCCAUUAUUCAUUUUGUGGUAUUAUGCUUCCCAGGUGGUCCAACCAAUUGACUUACACAAAUGCAUCAAUAGUCUUGAGAGUUUGCUUCAUGGUGAGGUUUGAAUUAAAUGCCAAAUAAGUGAAAACAUUGGUUAGGGAUGAAGAUUUUGAGGUUAUAUAUGUUUUGUAUUUUAAAGUUCCAUGAAAUUCUCUUAUCAUUGUGUAGGUCUGCACAGUUGAUAAUCUUGAACUUGAAAGUAUAAUUGCUUCUCCAGAUCUUGAGGUACUCUUAUGGCCCAUUGUUCAUAUCUUCUCGAGUCUUAUUGUUACUUGCAGUGAGAAACUUGAGAACUGAAAGUCCAGGUUGUUUCCUUGUUUAUAUGUCUAAGGAUGAGCUGUAUUUCUCUUCCCAGCCAGGAAUAGCAUAUUUAUGUGUUUAUUUAUGAUCCAAGCAGUGCAUGUCCCUGCUAAGGGAGAAUUUAUGUGAUUUCAAGGAUCCAACAAGAAAAUGAAGUUUCUUUGUUGGGUUGCACGACAAUCUGUUGUUCUGUUUGCAAAGUGUUGGUCUUUGCGGGGCUCUUCAAGUGAGUGAUAUUUGAUAUUGCAAUUGUUUUCAUAUUUGGAAGCUCUUAUACAUAGCAAUGCUUACUUUUACGGAGCAAGGGUAGCAUUUUAUUCCAUUGAAGAAAACCUAAGGCGCUUAAAGUUGCGGGUUAAUUAUUGUUGUUUUUUCUAGAUUUUCUCAUUUGUUAUUUUUGAGUUUCAUUUGUUGCGGAAUUAUUAUAUAUUUGCUUCCUGAGAGUUCAUAUUAGAUUGCUUGCUGUGGUGGAGUAUAUUGCAGAUUUUCUGAAAUAAUUUACUAUUCUAUUUAUCUGUGACCUAUACUUAACCACUGACUUUUUUCUUGUUAAACAAACAUCAAUUAUGAAUCAUGCUUCAGUAAUGAAAUCAGUCACUCACUACAAUUUGGCUUCACUUUCAUUUGUGUUGAGAACAUUAUCUUAUAUAUUCUAUAUGAUUGUGCUGUCCAUAAUUGUUGUCUGCUGGUAUCUGCUUGUAACAAUUAUGCAUGUUUUAGGUUUUGUACAUAUGUGCUAUUCAAUGUUUUUUUGGUCAUGUAUAGUUCUCUCCAUGGGAAAGCUGGCCCCUUUUUGGUCCCUUGUUUUGAUUAAAAGUUUAAAGCCAUCUUUAUCCUCCUGCUACUAUGCUUUCAUUGGUUUUGUGUAAAUUCUUAACAAAAGAUGCUCAUGGAGUAAGAAGCUAAGGCUCCCACUGAAGAUCGCUGUGAGUGUUGUAAAUCUAGUUAUAUCCUUUUUUAUGUAAAUAAAACUUGGAGGAGGUGAGGUCAUGCGGUUGCAGAAUGGAGAAGGGAGGAAGAUAGGGUUCAAUAUAACAAAAGGUGAACAAAAUUUAUAGAGAGGAGGAUUGCCUUUGCCGCCCCAUUUUGCCUGUGUCGUACCAUGCAAGGCCAUUCGGCAUGUGGCAUGGGUCAUGCCAAUACUGUAUUGACAAAAUAGCUUUUGUUGCAUUUUUGGGAACUUUUUGAGUUUUUUUGAUGUAAAAGUUUUACAAAAGUUUUUUUUUAUACUUAAAUAUAUAGAUGUAAAUCAACUAACGUUUGGAGCAAUUAGUAAGUUUUCUUGCAUAAUAAGACUAACUUUUAGUGUGAAAAAAUAAGAAGAUUUCCUCCAAUUUUUUUACAUUUUAUAUCUAGUGAAUCUACGCAUGGUAGUGUUUUCCUAUAAUUUUUAUCUAAUUAUGACUUUGGUUUUGGUUUUAUGCAUGUAUUUUCAUAAUAUAUAUAAAUGAUUCUUUUAGUUUUUAAGAUGUUUAUGAUUAUAUUCUUAGAAAUUAUGUAAGAUAAAUGCAUAAAUAUUUUUAUAUCCAUAAGACAUAUUAAAAUACUCUAAACAACUAAUUUUUCUUAAAAUUAAUAAAAAAGCGGUGACCGAAGUGAACAAUAUUUUUUAUAGAGUGAACAAAAUUUAUAGAGAGGGUAGGAUUGCUUUUGUCGCCCCAUUCUGCCUGUGUCGUACCAUGCAAGGCCAUUCCGGCAUGUGGCAUGUGUCAUGCAAUACUAUAUGACAAAAUAGCUUUUGUUGCAUUUUUUGGGAAUCUUUUGAGUUUUUUUGAUGUAGAAGUUCUACAAAGUUUUUUUCAUACUUAAAAUAUAUAGAUGUAAAUCAACUAACAUUUGGAGCAAUUAGUAAGUUUUCUUGCAUAAUAAGACUAACUUUUAGUGAAAAAAAAAAGAGUAGAUUUCUCCAAUUUCUUUACAUUUUAUAUCUAGUGAAUCUACACAUGGUAGUGUUUUCCUAUAAAUUUUUUUCUAAUUAUGACUUUGGUUUUGGUUUUAUGCAUGUAUUUUCUAAUAUAUAUAAAAUGAUUUGUUUUAGUUUUAAGAUGUUUAUGAUUAUAUUCUUAGAAAUUAUGUAAGAUAAAUGCAUAAAAUAUUUGUAUAUCCAUAAGACAUAUUAAAAUACUCUAAACAACUAAUUUUCUUAAAAAUAAUAAAAAAAGCGCGACGAAGUGAACAAUAUGUCAAUAACAUGCCUUAGUUUUUUUUUUUUUUUUUUUUUUUUUUUUUUUUUUUUUUAUGGGGGAGGGGGGGGGGGCAUUGUCGUGCCAACUUGGGCACGCCAUGUGUGCUGUGGUAAGUGGCACGGGGCUUACCAAUGGCACUGCAAUCCCUGAUAGAAAGCAUGGCAAGCUAUUGAGCACAAAUACUUCAAAUUUCAUGCCGUAUCCGUAAUCGAAUACGAUACACGCCUGAUACGUGCCGACUUGGGCACACCAUGUGUCGCUGGCAAGUGGCAUGCGGCUGUACCAAUGGCACUGCAAUCCCUGAUAGAAAGCAUGGCAAGCUAUGAAGCACGGAUACUUCAAAUUUCAUGCCGUAUCCGUAUCAAAUACGAUACACGCCUGAUACGUGUCCGAUACGGAAAUGAAGUAUCUGGCAUUUUUAAAAAAUAAAAAAAUAUCGGAUACGGCUCGGAUACGUGAGGGAUGCGGGGGGAUACGGGGGGGACACGACCAGGUUCUUUUCUGGUCUAAAAUGAUCGAAACUUAAAAUUUUUUUAAAAGCUCACGUCCAAACCUAUUGGAAAGAAGGAAAAGAGUGAGAAAAAUGCCAAUAUCUGUUCAAUUUGUCAUUUCAUUUAUCUUUUUGCUCUUGAAUGGUAGAAGACUCUCCCUCUCGUUCUAUCUUCACACAGUAUUUACUCUCUUUCAUCUAAUUUGUCAACCUAGCAUUAAACAAUAAAGGCUAUAGAAAAUAUGAUUUUUUUUCCUUCUCUAUUAAAUUAUUAGCAAGUUGAAUGAUAGUUGGUUUGAUACUUUUUGAAUUAUUAUUUUAUAUGAUUGAUUAUCUUUUUUUAUGAACCUAUGUAAAACAAUUAUACAAUUUAAUGCAUAUUAGAAUAUAUUCCUUAAUAUAGUCCAGAUAUCCUGAUUGUUCUCAAUAUAUCAUUACAUAUAAUCAACAUAUAUUUAAAUAUAUUUAAAAUAAUAUUUUAUUCAAGUAUAUCCCGCAUAUCGUAUCCUAAAAGUUUUAGAAAUUGCCGUAUCACCGUAUCCGUAUCGUGUCGUAUCCGUAUCCCCAUAUCCGUAUCUGUACAACAUAGAUGGCAAGUUAGAUAGGCCUUGAAGCUGGGUUGCAUAAUCCACCUAGAAGCCUUAUUCCAAUAUCAUGGCAAUUGAGGAUAGGCUAUGAAUUGCAAUCUUUUGCAUGUUAGAUCUGAUGUAUGGCUAUAAUGUCCUUUUUUUGUGUUUCUUACUAUCAUACUAGAGAGAAUUCUCUUAGUACAUUUUCAUUCCUGUAUACAUAUGUCAGCCGGACAGUGUAUUACAUACUCUAUUUGCAUUGUCUAUCUGGUUUUUUUCUUUGUUGCCCUAUAUAAGAUGAUCAACAUGUGAGUAUAAAUUAUCUGUUCAGAUUUAACAAUAGACUGUAACUUGGAUAACUUUUAUUUUUUCGACGAGCAUAAAAAUUAUAACUUUCUUUUUUUUCCUUCUUUUAUUUGUGUUAAAAGGCUGCACGAGUGCUCUUAGCUUCUGAUGGUGCUGACCUGAGUGAAAUGGAGACAGAGGCCAAUUACAGUAACAAGUGCCUUACAGAUCAGUACUUGAAGGAGGCAAUCUCAAUUCUAGGCUGUAAUUUCGAUGGUAUGGUCGGGUAUAUUUAAGGAAAGUCAUAUUGUUUCUGUGUUUUCUGUUUUGUUCUCUUUCUUAUUCAAGUUAAGGAUUUUUGCAUUUCCAAGCAAUUCAGAAACUAAAUGAUAUUUUGUCAUUUAAUAAAUUUCAUUUACUCAGUGUACUUCUUUAUAUGUAAGAAAGAUUGGAAUGAUGCUGCUUACUAGAAUGAUGCUUAACUACCCUGUACCCAUCAGUACUAGAGCAAUCCAAUUGAAAAGCUUUCUCUUUAUUCUGCGCUUUCGUCCCUCUUAUCUCUUCUUACCUCAUACCUUCCUUCUCAUCUUCCACCCUCUUUUCUGCAUGGAAAUAUCUGUGGGCUAAUAAAGAAUGUUGAGUUUAGGAAUUUUAGACUCUUAGCAACUUGGUUACCGUGUUUUAGAACGAUUUUAUUUUUUUCUUUUUUGCACAACAGGCCAAAUCCUACCUACACUUUGCCCCAUUUGCAGAUAGCCACGUUAAGUCAAGCACAAGCACUUGAACUUUCAAUCUGUUGCAAAGACUCCCUUUUACUGUCUUACGAAGGAUAUUUGCAGUUAGAUUUGUGUUGUUAACUUGGGCACCUCUUUGUAAAGAGAAUUUAGAGAUAGGAGGGCAAUACACUUGAGUUUGAACUGAAUUGUUUGGAUUUACUGGUAUUGUAGAUGAAACUACUGCUGAUUUCAGUACUCUAGAGACUGUGAAAGAGCCUUUCUUCUCAAAGAAAUUGUCAGUUCUUAUUGAGGUUCUCACAAGAUACAGGUUUGUUCACAUGCUGCUCUCAUUUUUUUAGAUUAUCUUUUAAAAUUAUAUGUUAUUUUUCAUAGUAUCCUUGCACACUAUAUUGAUGUCUCCUGCUCUGUAUUCCAUGCUGUUAUUUAUAUUUGACUACAAUUUUUUCUUAAGUUUUUGUACAUGAAUCCUCUUAUGCAAAUUGUAUCAUGGGCAAUCGAGAUUCAUGGCAUGUGCCAAAAAGAGAACUUAUGGGGACUUCAUGUUAGUGACAUGUUCAUGAAAUAAAAAAUUGGUCGGUGUAGUAAUUUAAUUAGGCUAUAUUUUAAAGUAUGCUGUUUUCUUUCAUCUAUUUCACUACUGCGAUAAUCAUACCUUAUAUACUCAUCUUUCUAGGCACAUUCAUCAUGCUCGUCCAUGUGCUUGUAUAUGCAUGCUUGUCUUAUCAGGACAUUCAGAACCACAAAAUUUCUGCUUAAUAAUGAUUCAGCAACAGUUAUGAUGUUAACAACUUUGUACUCACCUAACUAAAUCCAAAUGGAAGCUGUUUAUCUUACUUUUGCACUCACCUAACUAAAUCCAAACGGAAGCUGUUUACCUUACUUUGUAUUCACCUAACUAAAUCCAAAUGGAAGCUGUUUAUCUGCAAAGAUGUUAGAUAGGAUCUCACAGUAUGAUACAGUGCUAAUGCCAUGCACAUUACUCAGUUGGCAAAAACUCAAUCUGAAAGUCAAGCUUCAAUUGUUACCUUCACCGUCAAUGAAUGCCAUGGCUUUAUUUUCUUGACAGACUACAGGAAGGCAUGAAAUGUAUUAUAUUCGUGAAAAGAACCAUCAUUGCAAGAACGUUAGCAUACAUACUUGGAAAUAUGAAGUCUCUCAGUUUUUGGAAAUGUGAAUUUCUUGUGGGAUAUCACUCUGGAUUGAAGAAUAUGUCGCGAAAAAAGAUGAAUGCCGUUGUUGAAAAAUUUUGUUCUGGAGAGGUAUGACUAGGCAUUCUCUUUAUUCAAAUAUUUGAGUGAGCAAACCUUCUAUACUUAUUUCUUUUGGAGAGGUGUGACUAGGCAAUCUCCUUAAAUAUUAUUGAGUGAGCAAACCUUCUAUACUUCUUUGAGUAUUUUUCUUUUUUUUUUUUCCGUUUCAUAAAUGUGUAUGUAUGUGUGUGGGUGUACGUGUGUGUGUGCGAGCGCGCGCGUCUGUGUGUUUAGAAUAGAAGCAAGCAGUUUGAAUUCAAAUCUUGAAGCUUUAUAGCUGAACUUCUAGUUUGUGUGUGAGUAGGCUUUCAACCGUAGAGUUAAGAUGUGUCAUGUGUGUAUGUGCGUGUUUGUGUAGGAGUUUCGGUUGGAAGCAAGCAGCUUGAAUUCAAAUCCUGGAGAGUAUUCGACCAUCAAGUUAAAAUGUGUGUGCAUGUGCGUGCACAUAUGAGUUUCGGUUAGAGGCAAGCAGUUUGAAUUCAAAUGCUUGAGCUUUAUGGCUGGAACUUUAGUUUGUGUGUAAAUGCUGGAGAUUUAUUUCUAAUUAUAAUCUGAUUGAUGGUUUGAAUUUUGUUGAGUUUGCAGGUUAAUCUGCUGGUUGCUACUAAUGUCGCUGAAGAAGGGCUUGAUAUUCAAACCUGUUGCCUUGUUGUGCGGUUUGAUCUUCCACAAACUGUUGCUAGCUUUAUACAGUCUCGAGGCCGUGCUCGAAUGAUGAAAUCUAAAUACAUAUUUCUAGUGGAGAGGUGUUUUCUUUUGUGAAUGCCAUCUGCAUGCUUAAGCAUUCUGUGUUUAUUCUUAUUAGUAUCUUUACGUUCUUUGUUUGUUAUCUCAAUCUCACAGGGGGAAUCAGCAAGACGAGAAAUUACUUGAUGAUUUUAUAAUUGGCGAAACUAUCAUGAGUAAGGAGGUACUUGAUCGGUCAUCAGAUGAUACAUUCAAUAAUUUGGAGGAGAUUAUUUACAAGGUAACUAGUACGGGUGCUUCCAUUAGCACUGGCUGUAGUGUGUCACUUCUCCAUUAUUACUGCAGCAAACUUCCUCGAGAUAUGUAAGUAAUGACUGCCAUUUUUACAUUUUGGUGGCAUUAUUUGCUCUGUGAAAUAUUAUUCAGUUUUAAACUUCCGAAUAUGACUAAUAAUAUCAUGUUUCUUUGCAGGUAUUUCGCACCUUCCCUAAAGUUUUUUUACAUAGAUGACAGUAAUGGCAUCAUUUGCAGAAUGAUUCUUCCACCAAACGCUCCAUUUCGUCAAGUUGAGAGUCUACCAUGUGCAUCAAAAGAUGAAGCUAAGAGAAAUGCGUGUCUACAAGCAUGUAAGGAACUUCAUGAAAAGGGUGCUUUAACUGAUUAUCUUUUGCCUGGUCUAAGUUCCGGGAAAAAGAAUGGAUCAACUGCACAUCAUUCUGGAUGCAACAGCAAUGAAGGUUGGCUUUUAUGUGGACUUGAGCCAUUCAAACUUUUGUGUUGAAUUAUUUGUCAGGUUACAAAUAAUCAAUUCAUUGUUUUUAUGCUUCAGAUGAAAAUCUAAGAGAACUUUACGAGAUGUUAGUUCCUUCUGUUCUCAAAGCAUCACGGUCCAAUUUUGAUAGUCAGAUAAAUAUGUAUUUCUACUAUAUUAGACUUGUACCAAUACCAGAGGAUAGACAAUAUCGGAUGUUUGGUCUCUUUGUCAUGUCUCCUCUUCCUAAAGAGGCCGAAAAGUUGGAAGUUGAUUUACAUCUUGCUCAUGGUAGAAUCGUGGAAGCAGGAAUUGAACCAAAGGGAAUGUUGACAUUUUGCAAAGAAGAGGUUAAAAAAAAAAGCCUUUUACUGUAUUUUAUAUUUUAUAUGCAUAUGGGAUAGUUCAUUUAUGAUACUUAUCUUCUAGUCUAACAUUAUCUUCUAACUGUGCACAGAUUGUGCUUGGGCAAUAUUUUCAAGAAAUGUGCCUGAAGAUUAUCCUUGACAGAGCAGAGUUUUAUUGUGAUCAUGUUUCCUUGGGCAAAUUCCAUGCAUCUGAACAUUGUUUCUCAACUUUCUAUUUACUACUUCCAGUCAAGCAGCAAAAUUGUGGGGACAAGAUAAUUGUUGAUUGGGAAACUAUAAGAUGCUGUUUAUCAUCACCUGUUUUUGGACGUAUUACAGAUUUAGAUUGGAAAGAUCCUUAUCCGAUAAGUGAUUCUUUGAAACUUCUUAAUGGAACAGUCAGUAAACACAAUGUCCUUAACAGCUUAGUUUUCACUCCGCACAACAAACUUUUUUUCUUGAUUGAUGACGUUAUACAUGGAACAAAUGCCAACAGCCAGUAUAAGAGUGUGAGCUAUGCACAACACUACCAGGACAGGUAAAUGUUGUCGAUCUACUGUAUCUAUGCAUUUGUCAUAAUCUACUUUUUAGAUACAAAUAUUAGGUCCAUGCAGUUUAUGUGUAGCAUAAAUUUCUUCCUGGAUAAGAAUAUCUACAGAAUGCUUCUAUCAUCUUGUUUCUAUAACUCAACAAGAAGGGAAGUUGAUGGCUACAUCAUGUGCAGAAAUAGUGACACUUAAAAUGGAGAAGUGACUCCACUACUCUAGUGUGUUGUGUUAUUGUCUUUGAUUUCCCUUGAGACAUCAACAAAUAGAAUUGAUUAGUAAUCAUAAAAUGAUCUCUAUAUGGAAAUGAAAGAUCAGAGGAAUAAAAUGAAGGGAUUCAGAAGGCAACUUCCAAAAUAGAUAAAAGGACUUAUAUGAUGAUACAUUGUAUAACAGACAUUCAUUUUUUUUACGAGCACAAAUUUGUAUGUUUAAUUUCUAAGCUACUCUUUUUCUUGACUUUACCAAAUGAUUUAUUCCAAAUUGACCAUCAAGUGUACGAAGUCCUACUUGUACUUGUACCGACUUUUGGACAUUUAAACAAAGCGGGGAUAACUUUGAUGAACUAAGUAUUUUGAUUGACUGCUAGUUUCAAAAAACUGUUGUGCUGCCCCUACUUGAAUGUUUCUUGGCCUAUGAAUUGUCUUUGUAAUUUUGAGGGAAUUUUCACUUAUCAUAUUUGGGUUGUUUAUUUGAUUCUUGACCAUAAGAAUGAAAUGCUACUUUGUUUUUGUAACUUGGUUUAUAGUGGCUUAAUAUUUUACAAAUUGGCACUCUGAAAAUCAGGUUUAAUAUUCAGUUAUCCCAUCCAGAGCAACCUCUUCUAAAGGCCAAGCCGCUAUUUAAUUUACAUAAUUUGCUCCAUAACCGUUUACAAGGGAAUACAGGUGAUCUUCCCUGCUAUUUUACUAAUGCAGUUUUUUGUUUUGUUUUGUUUUUGUUUUUUGUUUUCCCCCUGAAAAAUGUCAUACAACUUGUUACUGUUUAUUCACUAUCUUAAAACUUAUCUUUGGAUUACUUCAAUUUACUUUUACAAUCACAACACGAAAUCAUAAAGAGAUGCUCAGAUGUGACAGUUCCUGAUUUGAUAUGCUAGCAACGAAAAAAGUAGUAACAUUGAAGUUUGCUUAUCAUAUGAAUGAUGAAUUUUGCAAUGGUGUAAUUGAUAUAUUGUAAUUGAAAACUGGAAGAUUAACCUAAGUUGCAUCUGGGAUUCAGUUGUACCUAUGUCAGAUGUAUACUUUGUUUUUGGUUGAAAUUUUACUUCUUAUAAUAUUUGUUAUUAUCUUAAUUGUUAUGUUAACUAUAUGCCUGAAAAAUCAGAGUCGCACGAGUUGUUGGAGCACUUUGUGGAGCUACCCCCAGAAUUGUGUUGCUUGAAAAUAGUUGGUUUUUCAAAAGAUAUUGGCAGUUCUCUUUCUCUGUUGCCCUCUUUGAUGCAUCGGCUGGAGAAUUUACUUGUAGCUAUCGAGUUGAAGGAAGUCUUGGCAUCCUCAUUCCCAGAAGCUUCUGAAAUUAGGGCUGACUGUGUAAGUCAUUAGUUUCCAUAUAAGCAUCAUAAGUUCAUACAGACAGAUCAGUUGUUGUCACAGACGUGUAGUUGUUUACACUCUUCAAUCCUCAUUCUUUAAGCAAGAAAAAUACAUUUCAGAUUCUAGAAGCACUCACGACAGAGAAAUGUUUGGAAAGGCUUUCUCUGGAAAGGUUUGAAGUGCUUGGUGAUGCUUUCUUGAAGUAUGCAGUUGGCCGUCAUUGUUUUGUUUCAUUUCAAGGACUAGACGAGGGUCAAUUGACCAGGAUGCGUUCUGCCAUAGUAAAUAAUUCAAAUCUCUGCGAACUAGCAAUUAAAAAAAAUUUGCAGGUACGUUACUUCAGAUGAUUAUCUUCUCCUUUUUUAUGAUUGUAUUUUUCCUUUUUUUUUUUUUAUUUUGUGGACUAUGAGACUAUCUCUAGUCACUAUACCUUGUGAGGUAAAUUUCUUCGAUGGCUUUCAGAUAGUUGUCAGUGGUUUCAAUUUUACUUGUGCUGCUAAUAUUGUACAAUUUCUCCUUUGGGAGUUCCCACAGGAAAAUCAAAUAUCAGAAUGUCAAAUUCACAAUGAUUAUAGAAACUAGAAAGUAUGAUGGCAAAAUAUAAUAUAGCAAAAUUUUGUUUUUUUUUGUGUUGUGUAGCAAAUUGGAUGAGCAGCGAGGAUUUUCACCUGUUAUGAGGAUCUCAAUUUGUUCUUAUCAAAAUAUUGCCUUUUGACUAUUUAAGCAUCAUCUUUGAUGCAUUUCUGGUUUAUCCUAAACUGUUGUAUGUGGGUUGGGGCAGUCACGUUUUAACCUUAAUUUCCACUGGCCUGACCUUUUUGGCUUGACCAUUUUGGCCAGCUUUCUGCUUUUGGAAGUGUCGUUUCAGAUAUGCAUAUUGCUCUUUGAGAAUGUUGUCUUCCUGCUUGUGAGAGUAUUCUAGCAUGUUGAAUCAAAGAUUCUAGCAUGUUGAAUCAAAGAAGCUAUCUUCUAAAAAUUUUCCCAUGUCAAUGUUCUGUAAUACAUCAAGGGAUAGAUCAAAGUGCUAUAUCUAUCUGAAGUACUUCUCUCUCUUCAAUUUACAGGUGUACAUACGUGAUCAGCCAUUUGACCCUACCCUCUUCUUUGCAUUAGGCCGUCCUUGUAAUGUUGUUUGUAAUGCGGAUACAGAAUCGAGCAUACAUCAAAUGGGAACUGAUUCUGGGUCAGAUAGACCAGAAUCUGGUAGUGUGAGAUGCACCAAAUCCCAUAAUUGGCUACACAGGAAAACCAUUGCAGACGUUGUGGAAGCUCUUGUUGGAGCAUUUCUUGUCGAGAGUGGGUUUAAAGCUGCAUUUGCUUUCCUUCGGUGGCUCGGUAUACCUGUUCAUUUUGAUCUUCCAGAUGUUUAUAGAGUAUACAAAUCAAGCAACAACAACUUGUCACUCUGUGAUGUUAUCAGUGUUGCUAAGCUUGAGGAAUUGAUAGGCUAUACAUUUAAGUACAAAGGACUUAUUCUGCAAGCACUUGUUCACGCUUCCUAUAGUAAUCAUCCUGGAGGAUGCUACCAGGUUAGUAUUGCAGAAAAAUGUCGAGAGUAAGUCAAAUCAUUUCUCUGUUUUCCUCAAAAGUUGGCAAAUGGCAAAAUAAUUUGAACUGAUACAGCUUGUACUGCUACUUGCCUUUUGAACAGAAGCUGGAGUUUCUUGGCGAUGCAGUCUUGGAAUACUUGAUUACAUCAUACCUCUACUCAGCUUAUCCAGAUUUAAAGCCUGGUCAAAUAACGGAUUUAAGGUCAAUAUCUGUAAACAAUUAUUCCUUUGCACAUAUAGCAGUCUGGAAUUCGCUGCACAAGUUUCUUGUAAAGGAUUCUAACAGUCUUACUGAGGCAGUAAACCAGUUUGAGAAAUAUGUCCAGCUAUCUGAGCCAGAAAAGGACAUGCUGGAAGAACCUGCAUGUCCAAAGGUAUGUACUAUGUAAACUCCGUAGACCUAUGCUGCAUUUAUUGGUAGGUGCGUUAGUUCAUUGAGAAACUGGAUGAUUCUAACCAGUGUCUGUUAUGUGGAAAGUACCUUUCUUUUUCAUGAAUAUUCAUGUCAAAAAUCUUUUCCUCACUUAACUUUGUUGACUUGACAAUCUUUUGUAUUAAUUUUAUAACCAGCAGCCUUUCUGAUUCUCUGAUGAGCAUUCACUGGCUAAGAUUGUCAUACCUUGCCACAGCAAGUAAAUCCAUGGUUAUAGUUUUUAAUCUAAGAUAGCUAUUUCUAAUGAAACUAGCAACUUCAAUUAGAUAUUCUUUGGGCAGUAAUUACGUGUCAGCAGGAACUUGCCGACUAAGACUGAGCUUGUGACCGAGGUUAUUUUGCUAUGAACACAUAGAAUGUGCUUAAUAGGCUUGAGGAAAGAUCCCAAGCAAUCUAUACUCGCUACAAGGAAGGUAUAGUAGGAUAGAUUGUGGGACUUGAUUGCAAUAAUUUUGAAAGUACGAACCAGAAAUUACAACUUAAAGUUUGAGGACUAAAGUGUCACGUGCCUCAUAUUUUGAGGACCAAACGUGCAAUUUACCCUUCUUAAUAUUUAUAGUAGCUAAAUUGCAUAUGCACCAGUAUGUGCACCCGCAGUAUGCAGUAUGUGGACCGCCCACAUACCACAUAGCACUUUCUAAAACAUUGUAAGUAACUAUUUGCUAUAAUUGAUCAAUUUGCUUAGAGAAGUUAGACAUUUCUUUCAAAUUUCAUGACAGCAAAAUGUGCAUUAAUAGUGGAAUUGAAUUUUUUGUACCGCUUCUAUUUUAAGCUCUAAGCAUGUUGAGUUUGUGAUAUUUACUAGUGAACUAUGGUCUCAGAUGACUUCUAAAGCUUGCAAUCUGUAUUCUAUACCAAUUUUCUUGAAUGAUUGCAUGCUAUCAGUUAUUCGCUUCCCUAUUUUGUUGUUUCUAGUUUGUUGCCUUCAAAGUCUUUUGAACUGUAUUACACACACAGGUACUUGGGGACAUUGUGGAAUCUUGUGUUGGUGCUGUACUUCUGGACACUGGAUUCGAUCUAAAUCAAGUUUGGAAGUUAAUGCUUAUGCUUUUGGGACCAGUCUUGAACUUCACUAGCUUGCAGCUUCAUGCUGUUAGAGAAUUGCGAGAGUUUUGUGAGAGUUCUGGGUUACCACUGGGUCUUCCUGAUCCAGUAAAAGAGAAGGGGCUUUACUUUGUCAAGGUCGAAGUUGGUUUAAAAGAUCACACUUUGACUUGCAUGGCAACUAACAAAAACUCAAAAGCUGCUAGAAAAAUGGCUGCACAAGAAGCACUUUCUAAAUUGAAGGUAAGGCAAGUGUAGUCUUUCUGUUAUGAAAGUAUUGAUUUGAUUUUUUAGCGAAAUACGGUUACGGCAUUACUAACACUCUUUCAAGUUGGCUGGAUGUAAUUAUUGUAUGCUUCAUCUACUUAUUGGUUAAAUAGUUUUUCACUUGGUCAUCUUUGACUCCUAUUGUGCACAUAUUUCUUAAAGUCUGAAAAAAGAAUCAAUUGAUUUGGAAGUGUUCAUGUAAUUCAUGUCUAGCAAAUCCACAUUGUGCUAUGCAUUUCAGUUGCAUUUAGAAACAAAUAUAUUUUAUGUACAUACAUUGAUGGACUUUAUUUUAGAUAACCUUAAAAAUUAUAUUUGACCAAAUAACUUUGUCAAAAUUUAUUUGACCAAUUAACCCUAUUUUGUCCAACUCAACACUAGGGUGAAGCAAUAAUUGGAAGACGGUGAAUCAUUCAGAGUCUUUAAUAAAAGUUAAAAAGACGGUGAACCGUUUAUUGCCUUUCCCUUUAAAAAGAAAAUAGUGAAUGAUUCUUCGUUUCUUUCUUAGUUAAGUAUUUUCAACAUGCAUUUCUAACAAUUCGACAAAAUCCCAACAGCUCACUUACAAUCCUAACAACCCCAUAGUAGCUCGCAUGCAGUCCUAACAACCCCAUAAAAUUUCCUAACAACCCACACAAAAAACCUACAAACAACUGUAACAACCAGAAAACCGACAUAUGGUAAAUGAUUCACCGUUUUCUAAAGAUGGUGAAUGGUUCACCACUUUCAAUGAACACGGUGAAUGAUUUAUUGUCUUUCACUCUUUCUCCAUCAUUGUGCUGAGUUGGACAAAAUAGGGUUAGUUUGCUAGAAAAUUUUUUGUUAGGGUCAUUUGACUAAAUAUAAUUUUUUUUUAAGGUUAUUGUGAAGAAAUGUCCUACAUUGAUACUUGGCACAUAAAUGUAGCCAAAAUACAACAGUACAUAGAUCUACUUGUGUAAGACCAUUGUUUUACAGUAAUCUGCGUUCUGUAUGAAAUGGGUUAGUUCGUAAAACAAAAGAUGAAAGUGGAUGCUCUUCCUUUUCUUUUGACAAACUGGAAUAAACAAUUACCAGCAGAUUAAGCUGAUUCGAUUUUCUUUUUGAAUACACUGCUUUUGCUAUUCCUUUUGAAUCUUUUAAUGCGCAUAUGCAGGCUCAUGGUUACAAGCCUAAAAGAAAGUCACUGGAGGAGGUUCUACGUACUACUAGGAAAAAUGAAGCAAAGCUAAUAGGCUUUGAUGAAGACCCCAUUCUAGUAGAGAAUGAUAAUGAUAUCUGCAUUAAAUUGGAGAAGCUAUCGACCCAUGAACCAGAAGAGAGUAGCUUGUUUCUCCAGGAUGCAAAAUCAGCUGGUACUUCUUUCGGCUAUAAAUCAUUCAUUCCUUCCGGCACGGAGGAAAAUUGUAUGGCUGGCGUGAACGAGAACUACAAUGGUACCAAAUGCAAGCAUGAGCCUGUUAUACAGCAUUAUGUGGUGUCCAGUGGAUUGGCCGAGAAGAGCAAUCCAUGGCAGAAUUCUGAUAUGGAAACUCUCACUUCGUUAGGUUUAUUCACUGGAAACUGAUUUAAAAAAAGAGAGCAAUAUAUGAAUUUCCCCUUUUACUUAUUUACUGUGGACUUAGAUUCCUUCUUACAGAAGUCCACUGCCCAUUCACCUCUCCAACCAAAAUUUAGAAAAAAGGAAAAAAAAAAAAGAAAGCUCCCUAACAUAAGAAAAGGGAAUAUUUUCAAUAAACUACACUUGUAAGGCCUAAAUAUGAAAAUUUAGAUUUUGCCGAGUUAUAUAUAACAUAUGUAAGUUGGUGAUCUUGCAAGGAUAUAGAAAUUCUCGACGGUAUAGUUGAUAAUGUUUCCUUCACUGUGUAGGUGAUCUGGAUCGGAAACCUGCAAAAUCACGCCUUCUUGAGAUCUGUACCGCCAACUAUUGGGACCCUCCUUUAUUUGAGUGUUGCAAAGAUGAAGGACCUAGCCACCUAAGAGAGUAAUCUUCAUAUCCUGUGCCUAUUUCGUGGACGUGUAUUUGUUAUAGUUAGUGAAGUACAUGUUUCCAAUCAGAAAAAGUACGGUCUGAUUGUGAAGCUUAGAUAAGCUGCUGUUGUUAUUUAACAAUCUAACUUGCCGAUAGAAAUCCAAAGCUUAAGACUUGCUGCCGAACAAAAUAUUUGUGAUUUGGUUUCUUCUAUUAGAUAGCUAAUAAUUCCCCUGUUAAAUUUGAUUUAGUCUUCUUUGUUAUCGAGUCAUUACCAAAUGAAAAAACAGGAAAUAAAGAUGUCUUCUCUGCUAAAAAUUGUAUAUGCCCAUAACAACUUAAAGCUCCAAGGGGAACAAGUUAGUUGUGCUUUCCAAUGUCAAAUGUAUCCUAUGUUAUAUUUUUGUCUUUUGUACAUUUGAUGUAUUGUAAGCUCAUCAUGUAACAUGUCCAAUACAUAUGCAGGUUCACAUACAAGGUUACUGUUCGAGUCGAAGGAGCUACUGCAGCAUUAUUGGAGUGCUUCAGUGACCCGAAGGCGCAAAAGAAAGCCGCACAAGAGCAUGCCGCAGAAGGGGCCUUAUGGUAUCUCAAGCAACAAGGUUACCUACCUUAACCCUAAAUCUCUUUCCGAAGCACUCUGUUGUAUAUAAUUUUCCGUAUUUAAAGCAGGUCCUGUAGAUUUCCUAAUAUAUGGUCUGAACAAACAAAAAUUCUGGUUGUAUAGUAUGCCAACCCGAUUUAGACUAAAAUGGGAUCUUUCCCAUGAUCCCUUUUUAAACCCGUACCCAAUUAUUAGGACUAUCACCCAAUCUGAACGGUAUUAGCAUAUAAUCCUAACCCUCGUUAAAUAGGGUGAGGGCACGAGGCACUAUCUUAUUCUGUGUCACUCAUUUUCAAACUCGCUUAAUUAUGUGUAUGUCAAGAGAGAGUAUGGCUUUAAGCUCUACAUUCUGGUUUUCCCUCUUCUUUUGCUCUUCUUUUUGUCUAAGGCUGAAAGUAUUCGGUCUAUCGGAGUAGCUUUGGAGCCAUGUUUAUUGCCCCUCUUAAGAUCUAAACGUUAGCAUGUUGCUCUUGCGAGUGCAAUUUCAUACUCGAGUCUUGGAUAACUUCCCUGGGGUAUAUGUGUAAAUAGAUCUGAAGUUGGAUCUGAAGUUGUUAUGAAGUAAAAUGGCAAUGGAUGUUUAUUUGGAAAAACCUAUUUCAAGAGGGAGGUAUGGUAGGCAAUGUUCAUGUGCGCAGUCCUUUUUCUUUUGUUCUUUCUUAACAGCAGAAGCAGCGUUGAAAGUGCUUUUUCUGUACCUGGCAGCUGAAAUAGCUUGCAAAUUCCGCUAUAUCUUUCAUUUAACCGUGUUGUGGAAGAUCCCCAGGACUCCGUUUGGGCUUAGAAUUGUGGACAUUACACAAAUGAUAAGAGUUGCCAUAUCAUGUUGCGAAGCUAUCUUUGUAUGUUACCCUGGAACUCUUUUUUGCUUAAGAUCAGUUUUUUUUCAUUCUCGAAGAAGUGCAUAUCUUACCGGGAUCCUCAUUAAUAAUGGUCCGGAACAAUAGUAUCAUUGGAGUAGAUACACGACUCGCUUUAAAUAUAAAUACAAGAAGCCGAGUACGCGGAUUAGUCCGAGUGGAGAGAAAAAAAAAAUAUAUUGAACUUAAAAUCUUUUCUGGAGAUAUUCAUUUUCCUGGAGAGACAGAUAAGAUAUCCAGGCACAGCGGCAUUUUUAUACCACCAGAAACGGAAAAAAAAAAUUCUAAAGAAUCAAAAAAAUGGAAAAAUUGGAUCUAUGUUCAACGGAUCACACCUACCAAGAAAAAGUAUUUUGUUUCGGUUCGACCCGUAGUCACAUAUGAAAUAUCCGAUGGGAUAAAUUUAGCAACACUUUUCCCUCGGGAUAUCUUGCAGGAAAAGGAUAAUGUCCAACUUAGAGUUGUCAAUUAUAUCCUUUAUGGAAAUGGCAAGUCAAUUCGAGGAAUUUAUCACACAAGUAUUCAAUUAGUUCGGACUUGCUUAGUAUUGAAUUGGGACCAAGAACAAAAUGGUUUUAUAGAAGAGGUUCAUGCUUCCUUUGUUGAGGUAAGGGCAAAUGAUCUAAUUCGCGAUUUCAUAAGAAUUGAGUUAGUCAAGUCCACUAUUUCGUAUACCGGAAAAAGGUAUGAUAGGGCAAGUUCCGGAUUGAUUCCCGAUAAUGGAUUAGAUCGCACCAAUAUCAAUCCCUUUUAUUCCAAGGCGAAGAUUCAAUCACUUAGCCAACAUCAAGGAACUAUUGGUACGUUGUUGAAUCGAAAUAAGGAAUGCCAAUCUUUGAUAAUUUUGUCAUCAUCCAAUUGUUCUCGAAUUGGUCCAUUCAAUAGUUCGAAAUAUAACAAUUUGACAAAAGAAUCGGAUCCCCUAAUUCCAAUUAGGGAUUCUUUAGGUCUCUUAGGCGCUAUUGUACCUAAAAUAGCGAAUUUUUAUUCAUCUNGAGAUCCCACAUUGUACGGAUGUGCGGCGAACCGGCACGGGAUCGACGUCACGUGCUCACUCUCUAAAGUGGUCGUGGUUCUGUCGGCCACGGAGAUUACGUCGACGGCCCUCCUCAUGUUGCCCAGAUACAGGUAGGAAUCAUCCCAGCCCCAGAUUGCUCUGCAAAUUGAGAUCAGUAUCGUUUUUUGCAUUUGUUAAAGGCAAGAAUGUAAGUAAUAAUGUAGAGGCGGUGUCAAUGCUGGGUUUGGAGGCGGCUUGAAGUGAAUAGCUUGGAGAUAUCAAAUAUAUAUAUAUAUAUAUAUAUAUAUAGAGAGAGAGAGAGAGAGAGAGAGAGAGAGAGAGAGAGAGUAAUGUUACUAUACUUUUGCGAGUACAGAGAUCUCCAUACUCAUAAGUUGUUUUCGACGAUAGAACUUCCGAAUUGACAUACAAUUCAAAACAGAUCAUAAUAAAAUGCUGUGGAAUUGGUUGAAGGCCUUUCCAUCCGAUUAGAUAAAAAAGGAUUUACAAAGGCUUACCUGAAUGUAGAUAGCCAUCUUCCAGUCUGAUUAUUGUGUUUUAUCAUAAACAGAUCCUCAAAGUUGGCUCCACUGAUGAUCCGUACUUUAUCAUCUCUACUGCAUCAAAGCUCAAAACAGAAUAAAGAAAAAGAAAAAUGAAUUGAGCAUGAUAUGCAAACUCCUUGUAAAAGUAAUUUUCUUUUGUUUUUCUAACACAAAUGCCAUAAUAUAUUUGCUUCAGUUUAGAGCUAGCUGCUUCCUUGCCCUAAAGAAAGUAACUUCUACUUUUAAUUUUUUAGUGAAGAAACAAAAAGGUUAAUAAGCAGAAUAUAUCCACUAAACCAACUAUCACAUAUCAAUGAGUUUUAAGUAUGUUGAGUAACUUACGAGACCAUCACAUCAAUAAGUGUUUUCUUGACUACAAGGGCACAAGAAUUCAAGUCAUACAUCAACACAUUCUACAAUGGACUAAACAGAGUUAGUUUCACUUUUUCCAUCUACAUAUAUCUAGCAGAUGCAGGAGAUCGCAUACCUCGUUGUAGCAAGACAGCUUCCGCUGGGUGAAAAAUGUGCAGAAUGAACUGCUCUGUUAUGCUGAACAGUCUUCAAGCAUUCCAGCUUAUUCUCUUUUGAUCUUCUCAAGUCCCAUAUGCAAGCCGUCCCAUCCGUCGAACUUGUAGCAAACAAAUUAACAUUUUCUGGAUGAAAGUCUAUCGUAUUUAUCCUCUGUUCAUGCAAGUCCCAGGAACCAGAGACUUUACCCACCCUCAAAUCGAAAAGUUUGAGCUCGCCUCGCUCUCCAAAAUAUAAGGAGUUAUUAUCAUGAGGUGCUUGGCAUAAAGAAUAAAUAGAAUAACCGCAGGAAUAUAUCAUGUUGAACGUCUCUGAAUCGGCAUCCAUCAAACAUAUAAACCCAUCGUAGCAACUAGUGAAAAUCUACAUUAGACAGAACCAAGCACAUAGGAUGAAUGACCAUAUAAGAAGCAUGAAGGAGUCCCCAACAAAAACAAAACCACAUUAUCAUCAAGUGUUACAGCUGAGAAAAACAGUUACACUCUCAAUUGUGGACGGAUCAAUCUGUGACAUAUUCUAGUUCAUUAAACUUAAUCUUAGUAACAUAAAUAUAUACCGAACAAACAUUUGUAACAUUCCUGUAAGGGGCAAUAGAGAAUAUGUUUAGAACAAUCAAUUAACCAGAUUAAUGUGUGGUGCAGCAAAGUACAGGUGACUCUGAAUCUCAACACUCAUUCAGCUAUUCAACCACAACUACAUUUUGCACCAAAAUUCUUCAGCUACCAACAAUUCUAAACCAUUCUCCAUCACAAUUGUACUCAAAGUUCAACCUGUUGCAUGUCUAAUACAAAGCAUAUUCGUGUACCGGAACAAGUCGAAGGCAUAAUUGCUCAACAAUUUUUUACACAACUAUGGCCUACAAUAAUGUUUGAAGCGAAUCGAACAUUUAGGCUAACUAUUGAGAAAGAAUUAGCGCUGAGUUAUUGCGCGCUUUUAAUUUAAAAGUAAAACUGUGAAAGAAGAUAUUACCUUUGUCGGCGAAUCCAGAUGGACCGAAAUCCCCGAAAUUGGAGCUCUGUGAGGAAAAUAUACAAACACCCCAUCUCCAUCCCCAUCCCCUCCACUAUAAUCCACAUCCCAAAACCCUAGAUGCCCCAGCUUAUUCCCCGCAGCGAUCACCGUCCGAUCCCCAAAAGGCAGGAAUCGCACGGCCAGGAUCCUCUCCCGGAGAACCUUCCUCACCUUCUCCUCCCUCAGAGCCAUCGAACGCCUCGGAUCGAACCCGGAACCCCUUCCCUUCACAUGAUCCGAUUCCGACGCCUUUGAAGCUCCCAAAAUCGCGUCGAUCAGGCCUCGAUCGGCCGAUCCGGAGCCCCCGACGAGGGUAUCGGCGGUGGGGAAGGGGCCGAUCCUCUCCCGGGCGGCGGAGGCGGGAUUGGGAGGGGGAGAAGGGGGAUCGGAGGAGGGGGAUGGGGAUCGAUUAGGGGGGAGGCCGCGGGUGCGGAGGGAGCGGCGGAGGACGACGGGGGAUCGGGGCGUGGGGGAGGGGCAGGGCCUCUUCUUCGUCGUCGCCAUGGAUUGCUGAGCGGAGGAGGAGGAGAGAUCGGAGGCGAUGCGGCGGAGCUUGAGCGAGGCCAUCACCUCGCCGUUGCGGCGGAUGUUCUCCAUGCGGCGGCGCUCGUACUCGGUUAGGGUUUCGGGCGCCAUUAGAGAGGGGUGAGGGGAGAGAGAGAGGGAGAGAGAGAGAGAGAGAGAGAGAGAGGGUAAUGAGAAGGGGAACGGAGAGGUGGCGCGAAGUGAUGGGGAGAAUGGCGGGAAAAUUAAUUUUGCUUGCAUUCGCCACGUGGCGUGAAGAGAUUGGCGAGGUGUAUAGACAUGGUUCUCCGAAUAUUGGACUUGAUUAUGGUUAAUUGCAGUGCUAAUUAGUCCUCCAUUUUUUAUGUUUAAUUACAGUCGCCACGUGGCGUGAUGAAAUUGCUUCGGUCUAUAGACCUGGUUCUCCAAAAAAGUGACUUUUAUUUCUGGUUAAUUGCAGUGUUAGUCCUUACACUUUCAGCCAAAUUUCAUUUUGAUCCUCAAAUUUUUAAGUUUUACGUGAGAUCCAAACCUUAUAAAACUUUCAGAAAUCUUUUACUUUAGUGCUUAUUUUGAAGAAAAAAAAUUAUUUAGCUCGUUUAUAUACCUAUGCACGACGACUCCUUUAAUCUCAUAUUUUUAACUUAACAAUUUAUUAAAAAAAUUGAUAAAAUUAAUGGAUAAUAGGAUACAAAUAUUAAAUAAAUAUGUGUAACAUGAUAAGUAGGUGGUACCCAAAUGCGUGGGUAGUAACUUUUUCUAAAAAAUAAAUGAGUACAAGAAUUAAAAUAAAAUAAUUUUAAAAGUACAAAAGUAUUUAUGCCUCUGACAUUUUAACCAUCGUAUUGCUUUAAGAGCCGUGCAGCACUAUUAACAAUACGUAAUUUUAAAAUCACAAAUAUGUUGAGUUUCUGUAUUUUUAAAAGAAUAUAAAAUUACGAAUAAUAUAUAUUUAUAGAGUUGAGCUAUUAUAUUAUUAUGGAUAAACUUUAAAUAUCACCCCUGUGGUUUUGCACUUUCUGACUUUAGGAUCCUAUGGUUAAAGUGUAUCAAGUUAGUAUUCUUUGGUUUCAUUUUUAUCUUUUCAUCAUUUUUUUGUUAAUAUUUUGUUAAAUUAUAUAUAAAAAAAACUUCAAAUAUUCCAUCCAGAUUUAUUGAAUAUUCAAUUUAUUACUCUUUAAUUUUAAUUUUGUCACUGAUUUAAAGAAAAAAAUUAGUAAAAUCGAUAAUAAAAAGAUAAAAAUAAAACGACAUGACACUAAAUUGAUAUACUUUAAAUCAUAUGAUAUUAAAGUAAAAAAAUGUGAAACCACAGGCGUAGCAUUUGAAGUUUUUUUUCUAUCACAGCCUAAACAUUCAACAGUCAAAAAAAUUAAUAGUAAAUAUUAUUUCUCGAUAGUAUUUUAGCUCCAUUUUCUCUCUUUCUAUAUAUAUAUAAUAUUUUUAAAUGAAGUAAUAAGGCAUUAGAAUAUAAAAAUACCAGAGUUAAAAAAAAUAAUAAUAAAUAAAAAUUGAAAGUUCUCAAACGGGCCACGAGCGAACCAAAUCGGUCGAAUUAGUUCGGUUCGAUUUAAUUUAGCUUUUAUUUCUAGUUCGUUUCGGUUCGGUUCGGUUUUUUCUUAAAAAAUGGAACCGAACGGAACCGAACCGAGCAAAACCCCUCCCCCGAUACAUUUUUCCCCUUUCUUACGACACAAGCUUAUAAUUGUAGAUACAUUCAUUUCUCUCCCAACUCCGAGAACCUCGUCCCCGAUCUCAGUCGCCCAUGUCGGUGAGUAUCCUCCUCCCUCCUCCCCCAAAACCCUAACCCUAAUCGAAUUCCUUCCCCUCUCUCUGUCUCUCUCUCUCCCUCUCUCUCUCCCUCUGUCUCUAAUCACUCUCUUUCUCCUAUGGUUUGUAGAUCUUCGAGUACAACGGGAGCGCCCUCGUGGCGAUGGUGGGGAAGAACUGCUUCGCCAUCGCCAGCGAUCGCCGCCUCGGCGUCCAGCUUCAGACCAUCGCAACCGAUUUCCAGAGGGUCUACAAGAUCCACGACAAGCUCUACGUCGGCCUCUCCGGCCUCGCCACCGACGCGCAAACCCUGUAAGUGAGAGAAAGAGAUCCGGGAUUGCCCGGGUUGUGGCUUUUUUUUUGGGGGGGGGUUUGAUUUGAUAGUAUCGGUGUUCUUUAGGGCAGUGUUUGGUUGCGUGUAAAAAGAGGUCCAAAAAUAACUCUCAGGUCGAAAAGAUUUUGUUUUGCUUAAAAUACUUAUUAAUUUUGAAGCAAUUUUCCGUAUUUUAGGGUGAUUUUCGAUUUUUUCCAGCAAAAAAAAAUGCAAACUGAAAAGUUAAAAUUGAAACAAUAAAUAGAUAGUUUCUUUUUCAUCGAAAAUACGUUUUUCUAAUUAUUUUUUAUGAAAAUUGUUUACAAUGGUUGCUUUACACGGAACCUAUCAUUUAGUAUAUUUUUGUUUGGUUUGUGUUGUUCAGGCACCAGAGGCUUGUGUUCCGGCAUAAGCUGUAUCAGCUUCGAGAAGAGAGGGACAUGAAACCGGAGACUUUCGCUAGCCUUGUCUCCGCUUUGCUAUAUGAGAAGAGGUUUAAAUUUAAUUCCGGUUAUUAAAGUUUAUGGAAAAUGGAAGUUUCAUGCCUCCUUGUUUGUUUGUUUGAAUGAUCGGAAUGGUUAUUUUUGGUUUAAUUCCAAAAUCAGUGAAGAAGUUAAUGGUUUUGAUUUCAGGUCAUCUGCUUGAUCAUUGCAAUAAAAGAGCAUGUAGGAUGAGAUUGUUGAGUGGAUAGAUGAUAAAACAAGGAGAGAUGAGAUAUAGGUUUCUUUGCGUAUAUCAGUGGAAUGUUUGGUUCCCAUCCAAUGCUUUUUCUUAAGUGUUGUGUACGUAGAGCUGUUCGAAGAAGUCCUAGGAGCUUUUUUAUUGAAAAUCUACUAGUAAUUUAUGUUGUAUCUAGAUGCAGAAGCUCUAUAGAGGAGCUUCUAGUUUUGAAGCCCAGAAGUUAAUUUUAUCUUCGUGCUAUAGCCUAUGGUCAUCGGCUCGUAACUUUUCAUUUACCAUAUGCUGGAAUUUUGUUCAGGAGUAGAGAAGUUGUUCUAGAAGCAGGCUAAAAAGUAUUUGGAGGAACUGUAGGAGUAUGAAGACAUAUUGGAUGGCAUCAGAAUGUGCGAGGAGGAGGUGCUCUGAAAGGGGUUAAGGAGAAUGAUUAUAGAAAGAGGCAAAGAAAGAACUAGAGAUAAGAGUGGGCAUGCAUUCCUUGACAUUAAUUCUUAGUUUUGAACAGAAGUACGUAUGCCUUAAUAGAUUCAAAUGUAUGUAACAGAAGUUCUUUUUGUAAUUUGUGAACUUAAAUCCAUUAGCAGGCUGAAAUUUCUCAUUUAAUAUCUGUUAGUUGUUGCCUUUUUGUAUUGUUUUUUGCGAGAUGGUUUUCUACCCAUUUCUAUCUUUUUUUCCUUUCCCUAUAAUAGUGGCUUUGGCUGAAAGGUUCUUUGAAUUCUGCAGAUUCGGCCCGUACUUCUGCCAACCGGUAAUUGCUGGGUUAGGAGAUGAUGAUGUACCCUUCAUUUGUACUAUGGAUUGCCUCGGUGCCAAGUAACUAUCCAUUUCCAAUGCUUAUCCUGCAAGAAACUUCUUUAUCAUCUAACCAAAUUUACCUACACCUGCAAAGCACUUCUUUUGUUGCUUGCUAUUUGCUGUCUCUAUUUGCAUCAGGAGAUUUUUCUAGUACCUUGGCAUUCUUCAGAUUAACGUACAAUUUCUACUUGUUUCUUCUAGGGCUUAAAAAAGAAGGACAAAUUUAUUCAAAUAGAGCUUUUCUGGGUUGCCUGCAUUUAUUUGGUAAAAGAUGCUCUAUAAUAGAUGCUGAAAGAGAGAGCACUAUAUAAACUAAAGGCUUCAUUUGGUCCUUUACUUGAUACUACAGAGUUCACUAGAGCAAAACUCAGAAGUAGGAAUGCUCUCAAACAAUCAACAAAUAAUUUCCCUCUGGUUUUGAACCUGAUGUAAGCCCUUAAAAAUAGGUGUUCAAAUACCGGGUACAGCAAAACUGAGACAAGUUGAGCACUUGCCAUGGGUGCUAUUAGGCCAAUUUAUGGAUAAACUCUACCUUCUAACUUGCAUUCAGUCUAAUUAUUCCAGUGCCGGUCCUAGGGAAGUUCCUCUGAAUUUCAUGCCUGCUAAUUGGGAAAUGUGCAAUCGAUGAUAUGAAUGUUUGUCCGAUGAUGAAAGGAAAAGGAAGUUGUCUUGCCUGCUAGUUUAUGGGUAAACUUCCAUGUACCAAUGGUGCUUACCGGCUAGCUAAAACAUGGAAGUUUACUUUAGAUAGGAGUUGUUUCUCUACUUUAUUGCCAUAUAUUUCCCCCUUGUGGUAUAUCUGAAUUCUUUAAAUUUGUAUCUCUUUAUUUGGAAGAGUAUGAAGUGGGUAAUUUUCUGUUGCAGGGAGCUUGCCAAAGACUUUGUUGUUUCUGGUACAGCCUCGGAAUCCCUGUAUGGUGCUUGCGAAUCCAUGUACAAGCCUAACAUGGUUAGUUGCUGUGUUGUUAUACGUGCCUAUAUAGUUAGUAUCUUAGCUGGCUCAUAUUAUUUUGGCUCUACUUCUUGGUGACGGUCAUAUUUUCUGGUCAUUAGACGGUUUAGUGAUAAAGGUAUGACGUACAGAUAUUUUCCUUUGUACCAGUGACUAAUUUCAUUGUUUGGGUUACGUUUGUUGUGAUAUCUCUCAAGUUCAUGGGAUCGAAGUUAUGUCAUUUCGUAUCUAUGAAUGCUGAACAGUUUUUGGGUCUUGCCGUAAGCUAUUUGCAUUUUACCUCCAUAAGUGCAAAGCUCUUUUACAUAGUCAUGUUUGUGCAUAGUUGCAAAUUCAGAGCGAGUUUUAGGACUGAGAUUAAUAAACAGUAUCAUACAUGCAGCAUAAAUAACACACAGAGAAUAUGAAACCAAAGCUCUUAAUUAACACACGCAAGCCAGGAUAUAGUUAGCAGCUGGCGCAUGAAUAAUAGUACUUCUUUCUACCUUAUGUUUGUCUUUCUCCAUUUUAAAUGUUGAAUUUAUGUUUCCCUGAUGACUGCAAUCUGAUAGGGAGAGUUCCAGGAUUCUCUUGUAUUGAUUUCAUAAUGAGGCAUGACAUUGACCUUUUUCCCUCGCAUGACAGGAACCUGACGAGUUGUUUGAGACUAUAUCGCAAGCACUGUUAGCAUCUGUGGAUCGUGAUUGCUUGAGUGGCUGGGGAGGCUAUGUUCUUCUCGUGUAAGUUCUUCAUUCAGCCUCUUUGACGGUUCUUUGAUAUUUGCACCACUCGUGCAUUUUCUUGUUGCUAAAUAAAUACCUAGCCUUGCAAAUCGUUUUGCCUAACCGGUGAUUGAAAUAGGGUACGUGAAAAAUCAUGUUUCGCCAAGUUGGUGCUCUCUACUCUUCAUUUCUGAGACUACUACUAUAGUACAGAUUAAAUACCUCUAAAAAUGUCAUGUUCUUAGGAAAAAAAGAAACACUGGUUAUGCUUUUGGGUUGUCCAGCGUUUAGCAACAAUUUGGGAUUGUUUACCUUUUGAAAAUAACUUGAUGUUUAGCAUGUAGUGAGAGUGUUAAACCCAUACUUUGCUCUAGCUAAAACCUCAAUUUUGUUUUCCACAUUUAACCUGCAUCCCCCCCCCUUGGCUUUAUUGCAGAACACCGACUGAAGUGCAGGAGAAAAUACUGAAGGGAAGGAUGGACUGAAUCCUCCUGUUUAGGAUACGAAGAGUAGUGAAAAUUGAUCACCCUUCAAACUAUGCUGUUUUCCUACAGUUUUUCGACGUUAAUUGCUGUUUUUUCUGUGACGGAACAAACUACAAAGUACAUUUAGUGAUUGCUUUAUGUAUGGGUUGUUCGCUUGAUUACAACUGAUUUCAGAAAGAAUAUUUAUAGAUUUCGAAUGGAUUCUCUAAUUCGAGUCGGUGAAUGGCAAAGACAAAAAAAAUUGGGGUUUUGAUACGGGGGAAAGCUUUGAUGAGCUUUUGAGCUUGCGAAGCAGAAGCUCUGAUUUGAAUCUUCUGCAUAUAUUAGGUUGUUUUUUUUAUUAUCAAGCUGCUUAACUCAGAAAAACUCCAGGGAGGACAGGCACUUUCUUAAUUUGAGAUGCUACUACUUAUUCAAUCCAUCUUUCAAUUGAGUCUUCCUACAUGCUAAAUUAGAUUAUUAUUCCAAGAAAGAAAAAAAAAAUAAAAGAAAAUUGGAAAACAGUGUCUCUUGUUAUUUUUGGAUCAACCUGCCUGCCUUAUUUGUGGUGCCUACAAGAGAUUAAAUUUUUUAUGAAUCCAAUUUAGAUUUUAUCCUUGGCAAGAAACAUGCUCUAAGAUUCAGAGUAUGAUUCCAAUUUCAAAUUUGAAUUUAGAUUCAAAUCUCGAUACGGAAUAACAAAUUUGCUGAAAUUCACAAUAUGAAUUCAAAAUUCGACUCAAAUUUGAAUACUAAAUUUUAAUUCAUAUUUCUAAUUUAGUUUAAGAUCUAAUAAUCAAAUUCAUGUUUGGCCCAGGAUAAAACUGAAUAGGUUUGUUUAAAAGAUAAGGAUCACAAUUGAUUAAACACACCACCGGGCCUCUUCCCGUCAGUGUCAAUUACAAACAACCAAAGCUGAGAGUUACAAACUAAACUCUUUUAAAAUUUGAGUACAAAAUAUUUGAGGCCUUUUUAGAAUUGUUUCAGCAUAGAGUAUAAAACCACAUUUAAUACAUGAAGUCCCAAAAUUGAUUUUCGUACUGAUAAUUCACUUUGUAUUUGAAAACUACCGUCGAGAAGCAUCAGAAUUAUCAUCUAUAACUCUAAAUGAAAGCACAAUCUUUCUUGCCACGUGGCAAGAAAUCCUUCAUCCUUUCAUCCUCCUUUCACAAUAUUUUCAUCCCUUUAUCCUCAUUAAAAUCGUCAUAAAUCCUCACAAUAUGUCUUAGAUAUAGGGUUUAAGAACCACUUUAAAGCAUUUCUCAACCGUUCACAUAUUCAUCAUUAAUUUAUAUGGAGAUCCCUUAGUUUUUAGAUUUUUUUAANUAUAUAUAUAUAUAUAUAUAUAUAUUGUCUUUAGUUUAGAGUCUUUAUUAUAAUUGACUUUCUUUGUUUUUGUAAUUUUGUAUUUAUGAUUUUGCUUUAGUUAGAAUUUAUUACUUUUAAAUAUUUUUCUUUGCCUUUAUUAUUUAAUAGAAUAUAUGUUUAAAGUAAAACACGUGUUAAAAGUAAAACAAAAGCCCUGCGUGUAUUCUUCGACAGCAAAUGAUAUCAACUGUUAAUAUCGACAUCAACUUUCGCUGUUUACUUUGCAAAAUCUCCGCACAAUUUUCGUUACCUCCUCCAAGAUAUGGAAUUACUAUGGUCGCAGAUGAACAGCUCUGUUCUUUUGUUGAUGUGCAGGUUCCUAGGGGUAGCCGAUUUAUGGAAAUAAUUACAUAUUGUCAUAUUAAUUAUUUGUUUGAAAUUUAUAAUUAUUUUAAUUUUGCCAUAUUAUAGUGCUGUUGUUGUUAAUGAUUUAUCUACAUCUACAACCUUCCUUUUAUCUUUUAUGCUAUUUCUAUCCACAAAUCAACUUAAAUUAUUUAGCCUUAUUCAAAUUCAACUUAUAACAAAAUAUAACUUAAUAGACAAAUUAAAGCUUAACUAAUGAUCUAAUUUUAACAAAUUGCACUCUAAAUUAAACUGUGCAUGAUCAUUUCUGAAUAUAAAUUGAGUUUUUUGUUGAAUUCUUAACCUUUUCUAUCUAAUUUUAUUAGGUCAUUUUCAUCUAAAACUCUAUUAUAUAUAUCAAACAACAUAUAUCAUGCCACCUUCCCAAAAUCUUAACCUGGUAAACAAGAUUUAAGAAAUAAAAUACAAAUAUGUUGUUCAUAAGAAGUUUUAAAAUAUUGCCUUAAAACAUUCAAUGCAUAGUUUAUAUUUUAUUUGAUAUAAAUAGAAAAUAACUUGAAUGUGUACUCUUAUUUGCAGUUUAAUUCAGUUUUCUGAUUUCAAUGAAGAAGAGAAGUAAAUAUUUUCUAGCAAAACUAUCAUAAGAUCUAAUUUCUAUAAUAUUUUAAGGAUAUGUGUAAUAGACUUAUUUUAUUUUGAACUUUAUAGUAUGGACUAUAUACUAUGAAUUUUAGAAUUUGAUAAAAUUCUAAAAUUUCUAACCAUAUUUAUUGAAGAAUAGUGCUGUUUUGGAGCCAUAUAACUUUCAUUCAAAAUUUUAUAAUUUAGAAAAAUUAGUAUUUAGAAUUCUAACUAUAAUCUUAUUUUUUAAAAUUUUGAACUUUGAAUUUCAUUAUCUACCCGCUGCAUCGCGCGGGUUUCUGCACUAGUGAUUUCAGAAGAGCUAAAAUUUAGAUCCUGAAGCUGCAACGAUGAAAGCGAACCUCUGUAUCGAACAAUUUACUACUGAAUAACUUGCUCCGACAUCCACACAAACCCAAACACAAAAUUAGUUUACUACUGAAUAACUUGCUCCGACAUCCACACAAACCCAAACACAAAAUUAGUUUACUACUGAAUAACUUGCUCUGACAUCCACUGCAACGAUCUCAUAUAAACUGAUCGGAAUCAGUAUUCCAUCCGAUGUGGGACUAUUGGGGGCAUUACAAGCUCCUCCUGUUUAGACUCUAACGUCCUCGUUGAGUCCAAACCAUAUCACAGAGGCGAUGUUUACGGAUUCAAGAGGUGGCUCCCACCAAAUCCGUUGGUGUAGCAUUUUACCCCGUAUAGUACUUAGCUCUCACACUUCCGGCUGGUAUUCGGCUCUGAUACAAAUUGCAACGACCCGACCCGUUAGCAACAAUAACUCGUUGUGCCAAACCACCGGUCCAAAAUGCUUAAGCCUAGUUAUUAUUACUGGUAGGCGAGGCCUCAUAUAAGCUGAUCGGAAUCAGUAUCCCAUCCGAUAUGGGACUAUUGGGGGCAUUACAUCCACAC
RNAcentral lists this long non-coding RNA (57288 nucleotides) under Ananas comosus (pineapple). Its description in RNAcentral is "long non-coding RNA (ACOM_LNC028460)". Lineage: Eukaryota; Viridiplantae; Streptophyta; Magnoliopsida; Poales; Bromeliaceae. The record is from RNAcentral.